GGGAGGGAGAGAGGGAGAGACAGAGAGGUCUUCCAUCUGCUGGUUCACUCCCCAGACGGCCUCAAUGGCCAGAGCUGAGCUGAUCCAAAGCCAGGAGCCAGGAGCUUCUUCUGGGCCUCCCAUGAGGGUGCAGGGGCCCAAGGACUUGGGCCAUCUUCUACUGCUUUCCCAGGCCAUAGCAGAGAGCUGGAUCAGAAGUGGAACACCCAGGACUAGAAUUGGCACCCACGUGGGAUACUGGCACUGCAGGCGGAGGCUUUACCUGAUACACCUCAGUACUGGCCCCUCCUCCUCUUUUGCAACAGCUACACACAUCCCUCAAAAGUCCGACUCCACACCUGCUCAUGACCUAACCGGAUGUCUGGAGGAGAAGCGAGGCAGCAGGCACUGUGAUGAAAGCCUCUCUUUCCUUCUUCUCCAGUGUCUGCUAGUGACUUCUCGAGCCUCAUGUGCUGCGGAGUGAGAAUCAAAUACAGGAGGCGUGGGGAAGCCCGGCUUCUGGUAGUGACUUUACCCUCAACCUCAUAGGACUGCUGUGGGCCCCGAGCCCCCGUUCCCUGAGCCAGGAACUGAGGGACUGCACAGGACCAUCUCUCAGGCGCUCUCUUGUGCUUCCCUGCCAUGAACCUGUGACAUUUGGAAGGUAGGGCUCCAUAUGUCUCUUUGCAAAGUGAGCCAGCUUGGGGCAGUGGCUGUUUCCUUGUCCCGAGAUGACCGAUGAUAUCUGUCCAUGGAACGGUUCUCACCAUGUUGCAAGCUGGCUGUUGAACCAGCAAUCAGAGGGAUAUAGUUUCCUUUAAGACAGACAGCUCAAGACACAUGGGCAUCCUUUUCACGGGAGGCCGUUUGCGUUUCAGAGCUACUAGAUUUCGAGCUUCCCCUGGGAGAGAACCAGGUCUUCUGGCUUCUGAGCAAGGAGAGAACUAGAACUUGACCUUCAGUCCUUCCAUCUGUGAAUGGUGCAACUCUUUCAUCCCCUCCAGCAAGCGCUGUCUACUGGCUUGCUGUGAAAUUAGGGGAAAGGGAGGUCUGGUGCUCCUGGAACUUCAUCGCUUUCCUAAAGCCUUGGAGAGUUCAGUCGCAUUCCUGGUUCGCAGUAGGUUCUCAAUUGGCAGUGAAACCAGUGCCAGCCUCAUGUCACCUGCCCUUCUGUGUGUUGGGACACGUGCAUCCCCACUGUUGUCCCUGGACGAUAGGCAAAGCAGAGCCCAGUGGCUCCUUGAAGCUGUGACUUGCACUUCACACAGACAGCCUCCUGGUGGGCGGACACAUGGGGGAAGCAGAGCUGCCUGUAGGUCCACAGCUCAGACCUCUCUCUCCUUGCUUCUGUUUGAGCUGCCCCCCACCCCCAUCUCCUGCGGACAGGGUAUGGCUCUGUGUAGAGUAUUACUUUGGCCAUUUUGCUCCAGGAAAAGCAUUAGUAAUUUAUAAAAAAAAAUACACAUAAAAACAGGGGAAGUCAAAUAUCGGCUUAUUGACAACACAGGCACUAUUAAUGCUGGAACUGGCUGGUUUGAAGUGGAGUGAGUUUCUGUUGCUGAUUUAUGUGCUGUUGCUUUGAGGAGGGAUGUGAGUGAGUCGUGAUGGUUCUUGGAAAUUGGCAGCUGGAAGGAGCAGAACUGGUUUGAGUUUGAAUUCCUAAGAGAACAAAAUAGGAAAAGGAGGAGGAGGAGGAGGGGAAGGAAGAGGAGGAGCAGCCGCAGAGAUGAUUUGCAUCUCUCUCUCUGUGCUUCAUGGUUGUGUAUUUAAACGGGAGUGCGUUGCCAGGAAAUUGAGGAAGUACGUGUGUGUGCGCUUUGUGUCAAGCACAGCUCACUGGAAAUGUACCUGUGUGGGCAUGAGGGCUUGCACAAAACUGAUGCUUCUCAUGAAUUUGCCCUGCUUGUUAAGCACAAUUUGACGGAUGGUUUGCAGCAAGAGUGAUGAGGCCUUGACACAGCCACUUUUUUUUUUUUUAAAGAUUUAUUUAUUUAUUUGAAAGAGUUACAGAGAGGCAGAGACAGAAGGAGAGAACCAUUUGCUGGUUUGCUCUCCAGAUGGCUACAGUGGCCAGGGCUGGGGCAGACUGAAGCCAGGGGCUUCAUCCGGGUCUCCCACAUUGAUGGCACAGGCCGUCUUCUGCUGCUUUUUCCAGGCCAUUAGCAGGAAGCUGGAUGGGAAGCGAAGCAGGCAGAUUAACUGCUACACCACCAUGCUGUCGCAUCACAGCCAUGUUUCAUCUUUACUGUAGCAUUUGUUCUGUGGGAAAGGGGGUUUUCUUGAUUUGGGGGAGUUGAAUUCCCGCCCUGUUGGGGGAAUCAAAUUCACUUAACUGGGAAAUUAGAAUUUUUUUUUUUUUGACAGGCAGAGUGGACAGUGAGAGAGAGAGACAGAGAGAAAGGUCUUCCUUUGCCGUUGGUUCACCCUCCAAUGGCCGCCAUGGCUGGUGCACUGUGGCCAGCGCACCGCGCUGAUCCGAUGGCAGGAGCCAGAUGCUUCUCCUGGUCUCCCAUGGGGUGCAGGGCCCAAGCACUUGGGCCAUCCUCCACUGCACUCCCUGGCCACAGCAGAGAGCUGGCCUGGAAGAGGGGCAACCGGGACAGAAUCUGGCGCCCCAACCGGGACUAGAACCCGGUGUGCUGGCGCCGCAAGGUGGAGGAUUAGCCUAGUGAGCUGCAGCGCCGGCCGGGAAAUUAGAAUUGAAGUUGGUUUUCUGUUCCAGAAGUUUCCGUUCCAGAAAGUUGCUUGUUAAAACCUUGCACCAGGGUCUCUGGGCUGAAGGUGCUUGAAGGUGCUUCCUGGCAGAUGUGAAAGGCUUCGGCUUGUUAAGAUUUUUUUCUUUUCUGCAUUCCCGUGUGAGACUGCGGGCUUCCUAUUGCUUGCCCUUCUAGGGUCCCUCGUGUGUACACUUGCUGUCUCUGUUUCUCUUAUGUGCACGUUGAUUUCUUUCUGAUCGACACGUCCUGAGGGCACAGAUGAUUCUCUCUUCCUGUGUUGGGAUCUGGCUGGGGACCUUGGGAAUGCCAGGUGCUGUGACAGAGGACCGCCAACUCAGUGGCAUCCAACAGCAGACGUGUAUCAUCUUGGAAUUCUAGAGUGCGAAUCGCUGGGCCAAAGUCGGAGCCGGCUGGCUGCGUUCCUCCCGUGGGCUCCAGUGGACAACCGUCCCCCGUCCCCUUCCUUUCUGGCUUCUGGAGGCUGCUCGCCUUCCCUGGCCCUUGGCCCUGGGUCACCCCCAGCUCUGUUUCUGUUGUCCCAUCUUCUUUUCUGUCUGUGUCCCUUUUGACAAGGACCUCGUGAUUGCAUUGGGCCCACUUGAGUAAUCCUGGGCCAUCUCUCCAUGUCAAGACCUUCUGUUUAAUCACAGCAGCCAGAUCUCGUCUGCCAGGUACAGUGGACUUGUCACCGGGUCCAGGGGUGAGGAGGACGCCACCUGCAGGGGAGGGCGUUGUUUGUAAGGGAGGGCAGGGAGACAUCAGACCGGAAGGAGGGUCACGCAUCUCCUGGAGGUUUGCUUGCUUGCUUGCUUGCUUGCUUUUUUUUUUUUUUUUUUUUUUUAAGAUUUAUUUAUUUAUUUGAAAGAGUUACAGAGAGAGAGAGAGAGAGAGAGAGAGAGGUCUUCCAUCUGAUGGUUCACUCCGCAAUUGGCCGCAAUGGCCAGAGAUGCACCAAUCCGAAGCCAGGAGCCAGGAACCAGGAAUUUUUUCCGGGUCUCCCACACGGGUGCAGGGGCCCAAGGACUUGGGCCAUGUUCCACUGCUUUCCCAGGCCAUAGCAGAGAUCUGGAUCGGAAGUGGAUCAGCUGGGUCUCGAACCGGCGGGCAUGUGGGAUGCUGGCGCUUCAGGCCAGGGCAUUAACCUGCUGUACCACAGUGCGGGCCCCUCCUGGAGGUUUUCUUAGCAGUCUUCCUGGACUUCUGGAAUCACGCUACCUGUGCUUAGAACCAGAGAGUGAGGAUUUAUUCCUGUUUUGGGGGGAUUCUUUGUUUUCCGCAACAUCAGCUAUGCAGCCAGGUUUUGCUUCUAUCUAUGGUAAACCCUACUCUACCUAUUGUUUUUCUUUCUCCUUGGUUCCCAAGGGAAUUUCCUACCACUUUUAUUUUCUUCUUUUUUUUUAACCUAACAACCAGACCCCAAAGGCUGUUCUCCAAAUGUCACGUUUUCCUGGCUUAAGUCAGAAUUUGAGGGAUUGGAUCAGAUGGCCCUGCCCCCCGCUGUCUACCAUGUGUGUGGGGACAGAGUGGCUGGGCCUGAGAAGGAUCCUGGGAGGGUGCCCAGGCCACCGUGAGGCCACUGGAGAACUUGUGGGUAUCAGGAAAAAGCAUCAGAAGUCUUUGUGAGCCAGUGUGAAAUGUGUGAGACCACAAGUGUUUCUGAUUUUGGAUUUUUUUUUUAAAUUGAUUUCCACAUAAUGAGGUGUCCUGGGGAUAGGACCCAAGUCUAAACAUAAAGUUCAUUUGUGUUUCAUAUACACCUUGUACAUAUAGCUUGAAGGUAACACUGUAUAACAUUUUUCAGUGCGCCUGUGUUUUGACUGCACCCCAUCAGAUGAGAUCAGGUGUGGAAUUUUCGACCUGAAGGUAUCAUGUCAGUGUUAAAACAUUUUCGAUUUUGAAGUAUUUUGCAUUUGGGUUUUCAGAUUAGAGAUAGUGACCUGUAGUAGAAAAUAUUUGCUUAGGCGGAUGUGUGGCACAGUGGAUUAAGCUGCUGCCUGCGAUGCCAGCAUCCUAUAUAGGCAUUGAUUGGAGUCCUGACUGCCCCACUUCCAAUCCAGCUCCUUGGCUAAUGUCCCUGGGAAAGCAGUGGAAGAUGGCCCAAGUGCUUUGCCCUCUGCACCCACAUAGGUAAAGGGUUGAAGCUCCUGCUUUCUGGCUUUGGCCUGGCCCAGCCCUGGCCAUUGUAGCCUUUUGGGGAGUGAACCAGUAGAAGGAAGAUUUUCUCUCUCGUUCUCUCUCUCUCUCUCUCUUUCUGUAAUUCUUAUUUUCAAAUAAAUAAGUAAAUCUUGAAAAAAAUAAUAAAAAAUGACAAAAAAUGCUGUGUGGUCCAUUUUAGGAGAUCUGGGGCAGUGGGUACAGCCUCUUGACACCAGCUUACCACCUCUCAUUGACAGCAAUCUCCUUGUUUUAGACAGAAGGAAACAGAUGUACAGAGAGGUGAAGCACGCUGUCUCAUUGCCCCAGCCCCUGAGUGGCAGAGACCUGAGUGCCAGGAGCCCCAAGUCCUAGGCCGUCCUUUUUUUCUUUUUUUAAAGUUUUAAGUAAUUUAUUUGAAAGGCAUAGUGACAGAGAGGGAGAGACAGAAUGAGAGAGAGAAAGAGAAAGAAAGGGGGGGAGGUUGGGAGAGAGAGAGAGAGAUAGGUCUUCCAUCUGCUGGUUUAUUUUCCAAAUGCCUGUAACAGCUACAGCUGGGUAAGGCUAUAGCCAGGAGCCAGAAACUCAACCCAAGUCUCCCACAUGGAUGGAAGAGACCCAAGUAUUUGAGCUGUCACAUAAGUGGGUAGGUAGGUUAGAAGUGGUGGUGGUGGUGGGGCUGGCGCUGUGGGGUAGUGGGCUGAGCCUCUGCCUGCAUCGUGCCAGCAUCCCAUAUGGACAACAGUUUGUGUCUUGGCUGCUCCUUUUCUGAUCCUUCUCUCUGCUUCUGGCCUGGGAAAGCAGUAGAAGAUGGCCCUUUGCUUUCUGUGAGCUUCAGUCUCCUCCCCUAUAAACUGGCGCUGAACCUGCUUGCCUGCCCUCCUCCAGAGGGGGCAGGAGAGCGAGGGGGGCAGUGUGGAGGAAAGGGCUCCAGGAGCUGUCCGGUGAUGCACUCUGGGAAGCUGUUGCUGCUACCCCUGGCUCUCCCGCUUGUGCCUGUGCACUGUGUCCUCCAGGAAGAGCCUGGGUCACAUCUAGGAUAUCCUUGUUUCAGAUCCUCUCAUGAUGACACAGUGGCUCAUGUGGGGCUCCUGCUGAACUUUGGGAACACCCAGUAGUUGCCAGAGGAAAAAGAGAGCUUGUUCCGCAGGUGCCCAGUUCCGCUGCCCGGGGGCCUCCGUGUGGGGUACCGUGAAGCCGCUGCUUCAUUUUAUCCGAAGCGGGAAGCAAGAGGACUCACUGGGGCUGGCUUGAAAUACACUUGGCUGGAAGCUGUGUGUGUGCAGGGACUGCCCUGAUCUCUUUCUCUGGUGGGUGACAGUGGAAGUGGCCACGUGAUUUGUCAUCUAAAUCGGUACCCUUGUGAAACUAAGUGAGGGAGUUGUAAUAAUUAUGUUGGGAAAGGAGACGUAACUCAUCCUGUCCCCGAGUGAGAGCUGGGGCUCCUUGAGUCACGGUACCUGGGUAUCAGUCCAGUGGGAACCCGGGGCAGGUGGCGUGAGAGGCAGAGUCUGCCUGUAGCCUAUUUGAUCUUAGGUUCUUAGUUUCUUUCCAACCUCUUUGCUUGUCUCUGCCCCUUCAUGAGGCACCAUUCCCCACUGUGUCUGACCAAAUGUGGGUCUUCACCCCCCUCCCACACUGUUAAUUUGCAUGCGAAAGAAGCAUCCUAGAGUUGGAAGAGUUUGGAUGUAAGCAGCCAACAGUUUUGCUUUGGCUAGGCCUCUUGACCUCUCUGAGCCCCAGUUUUCUCAUCUGCAUUAUGGGAAUAACAUAUCAGUUUUAUAGGACUGCUGUGAAGAUCAAACAAAAGGAUUUAUGUGAAAGCGCUUAUGACUAAUUAGGGGUUAAUGCAAAUAUAAAUUAUUAUUAUGAAGGUGAUAGAUGAGUCUCAAAUAAACAGCCCAUAAAAUGAAUUUCUAUUGGGAACAUUUCUGGGUUGAGAAGAAGGAGCAUUUUGGGAGACAGUGAUCUUUUUUGGGGCCCUCAACCCACAUCCUGUAGGCAGUUAUCUGGGUGGGUAAUUGACCUUGGAAUGUGGUAGGUUGUGGAGAUAGACAUCCAAAUUUGAAUCUGGUCUCUGUCUGGCUGUAUGACCUUGGGGAAGGGUUUUGACUUCUCUGAGUCUUGGGAUUACUCAUCUGUGUGAUGAGAAGCAGCAGCCUGUAAGUCAGGAUUGGGGCGAUGAUUGUGGGAUGGAGCAUUUGCACAGAGCCUAGUACACAGCCUGGCAUUCAUGGGCUCUCAAGACGCUGGGCAUCACUUGCUCCUUUGUCCCUCUCCCAGGGCUAUUGGGGUAGGAAGUGGAAAGUGAUUUAACUGACUCUCAGAUAACUCUGUAGAUGACUUGUUCCUUUUCACUGUGGCUUCUGUGGUGAUCACAUGCAGACCUAUUGGAAAUCUUGUUCCAAGGGAGUCAGGACAGAGAGCUUGGAGCUGGGAGACAGAAGAAUGAACAAAAAGGCAGAAGUUUGAGUAGUUGCUUUGGUCUAAUUUUCUGCAUCUUCCUUUUCUUAAUUUUGAUCCAUCCUUCCAUCUGUAUCCAUCUGUCCAUGCAUCCAUGUGCUCAUUGUUUUUCCAUCUGAUGUUUAAAUGCUUGAGAUGUACAAGCUGAUGCAUGGGAAUACGAAGAUCUCCAGCGAGAGAUAGACUAACUGAACUAAAUGAAAGCACGGUUCGAAGCAACUUUUUUUUUUUUUAAUAUUUAUUUAUUUGAAAGUCAGAGUUAUAGGGUAGGGGCAGAGAGAGAGAGAGAGAGAGAUCUUCUACCCGCUGGUUCACUCCCCAAAUGGCUGCAGUGGUUGGGGCUGGGCCAGGCUGAAGCCAGGAGCUUCUUCUAGGUCUUCUGUGUGGGUGCAGGGGCCCAAGAGCUUGGGCCACCUUCUGCUGCUUUCCCAGGAGCAUUAGCAGGGAACUGGCUUGGAAGCAGAGCAGCAAGGACUCGAACUGGCACCCAUCUGGGAUGCUGGCACUGCAGACAGUGGCUUAACCCACUGCGCCACAGCACCAGUCCUUUGAAGAAACUUCUAGGUGCAAGAUGAUUGGGCACAGUGGGGAUGUGUGUCAAUUAGGACCCUUUAGAUUCAAGCUAGCAAAACCCGACAUAAAUUGGCAAGAACAGUGGUGAGGACUCACAGGCUGUGUAACUGCAAAGUCCAGAGCAGGAGACACGGAUUUGGGGGAUGACUUCGCCUUCCUUCCUGGCUAUCACUGGGUCUUCUGCAGCUCACCCGUGACUGUGUGGUUCCUUAUUCGGAUUCUCCGAUAGCCUUGUUUUAUUGGGAUGAGAGCAUUUUAGGUCUUCUGAGUUCCUUUGUGAGCAGUCAGCAGGCAAUACUUGCUCUCAGCCGCAGAGCUGAGUGAGACUGAUGGAUGAGAGGUCGUUGUGGCUCAUGAGUGCCUCUUGGGUAGAAGUUUGGACAGGGAUGGGUGCCCGGGUCUGUUGUGCCAAAGAGCCUGGAGUUCUGUGGCUGGUUAAAGUAUGCAGUUUAUGAUGAUCUCCCGUUUAUAUUCUGGAUUGUAUAGUGGGAAUGCCCAGGGUUAACUCUAUUAUGGAGGGGUUCUGAAUGGGUUAGCUAAUGCAAACCAUUUAACCUGUCUCGAUAAGAUUGGGCUGAGAGGUUGUUUAUUUUUAUUUUUAUUUUUUUGAGAAAAGGGCAAAUUGACUCAUUGUAUCCUAACCUCAGCCUGUUUUUUUCUGUCAUGCAGUUCACUACUAACUGGCCCAGCUGGUCUCUUGACCAUACCUUAAGUAUAUUUGUGUUUUCUGUUUAUUGCAUUCUUGAUACUACUUGCUAGAAUAACCUUCGGUUAGGGUGUUUCUUACCCAGCUCCAUUCAGUGUUUAUCGUAAAGCUUUUCUUAAUACCCACAGCUAUCGCCCUUUUCUUUGAUCUCCACGGCACAUGCGUCUGAACCACGCUGGCCACAGUUAUGUAUUGCAUACUGCGGUUUUCUUUCAUUAGGUUUUUAAAAAUAAUCCCAACUUGAUUGAAGGCAGCUCAUAAUGUUUUGUAUUUUCUAUCACUCCUGAUAAAUAUUUGUUGAUUUCACAUGUUGAACGUGGUGUGGCUAGCCUUCCAGGUGAGAAUGGCAGAUGGACCCCAGGAAUCUUUUGUUUCCCUCUGAUUUCUGAAACCAGAGUGAAAAGAUUAACAAAUCCACAAACUUGUAGGAUAGAGACCGUGAGAAUGAAAGCUUAAGCAACAUACGUAUUUUAAAAUUGUGAUAAAAUAUACAUAACUGAAAUAGGACACCUUGAUUGUUUUAAAGUAUAAACUGGAGUGGCAUUUAGUGCGUUCACAGUAUUGUACAGUCACCACCUCUGUCUGCUUCCAGAAAAUUUUCAUGAUCCCGAAAGGACAUCCUAUGCCCAUUAAGCAUCCAUCCCCACUUUCCCUUCUGUCUAGCCCCGACAGUCACUGGUCUGCUUUCUGUAUUUAUGAACUUGCUGGUCUUGGGAAGAUUGCAUACAUAGAAUUGUACACCGCGUGGCCUUUGUGUCUGGCGUCAUUCGCUCAGGAUAAUUUAAGGCUCAGCUGUGGUGUGGCAUUUAUCAGUGCUGCAUUCCUUUUUGGUACUGAGUACUAUUCUGUUGUAAGGAUAUACCACAUCUUGUUUAUCCAUUUAUCAGUUAAGUGGCUUGUUGCCACAUUUUAGUUGUUAUUAGUUAUUAUGAAGAAUGCCACUAUUGUGAAAAUCCACGUGUAGCUUUUUGUUUGAACACCUGUUUUCAGUAUUUUUGGAUGUGUACCUAAGAGUGAAAUCGAUGGGUCAUAUAGUCACUGUAUGUAUAAUUUAUUAUGGAAUUGGCAAACUAUUUUCUAUAAUGGCAGUACAUUUUUCAUUCCCAUCAGCACAAGUAAGUCCCAAUUUCUCCCCUUCCUUGUUGUUAUUUUUUUGUAAAAUUUUAAAAAUUACAGCCGUCUUAGAGGAUAUGAAGUGGUUUUGAUUUACGUUUCCCCAGGGAUCAGUGAUGUUGAGCAUCCUUUCAUGUGAACAAUAGAGUUUUGCAAGCUGGAAAGUAAAUGUGGAAAAUUGGACCCUAUCUGGACAGCAACGGAGAAAGCUGAGAAUUGAUCUGAUUUAUGCUGUGUAAUUCUUCCAAGGCCUGGGAGUCGGUCAGGAAAGUACCUUGGGGGCUGCACAAGCCCAGCUGCCCUCUCUCACUCCAUGUAGCCUGUGACUCCUCAUAGCCACUCUGCAGAAAAGCUGGAGGUUUCUUGUGUGGAGAGAGUAAGCCACAGCAUCUCUGGACUUGGGAACCCCUUACCCUGUUGAGAGUAGGGUUUUACCACAGACAACAGGUAAUUUAAUAUAUUAAUUGAGCAUGUGUGCUGAGCAUAUACGUUGAAGGUUUUGAAAUAUUCCUCAUUCCCACCCAGUGUUCUUCAGAGACUUGGCUCCUGGCCAGUUUUUCACCCCAAAAGCAGAGGGUUGGGAAAGCACUGACCACAGGAGAGCUGGAAGUACUUCCCUGGAAGUUCUUCAGCCCAUUGGCCCAGAGUGAGGACCCUGUUGGCAAGCCCUUCUCAUCUUCAGAGGUUUCAGCCAGUUUCUAGUUUUCCAGAAAUAUGGGCAGAAAUCUAAGAAUUGCCUGGUAUAUGUGUGAAGCCUCUAACCUAUAGAGGGGGAGGAGAACAAGGGAGGAAGGGACUUGGAGGAACCCAGGACCAAGUUGGGAAAAGAAAAUGCAAAAUGAAAAACCUAUUACUAAUGUCAUUGGACAGAUAAAAGGAGAUAAUGUCAUCUCAAAACAAGGAUGGGAUAUCAUAAAAACCAUAUGCAGUGAAUCCGAAAAGUGCCCUUGGAAAUCAUGAAGCAGAAAUGAAGAAUCUAUGAGAAGAGAUUUUCCUAGAAAGUAGAAUAAAAUCAGCAGAGAUGAAGACGACAAAUAGAAUAAAAAGGAACUGUUUAAGGGGUUCAACAUCUGUAAAAUUAGAGUUUUGGAGAAAAAGGAAGAGAAGAAAUGGUAAAUGAAUCAUUUCAAGAAAAUUUCCAGGAACUGAAGGUUCCAUGUUGGGAAAUUCUGCCAAGUGCCCACCAUCCAAAUAGACUCAGACAUGACUGACAUUUCAGAAUCCUGAGAACCAGGGGGCAGGUGCUGUGGUAUAGUAGGCUAAGCCUCUGCCUGAGGUGCUGGCAUCCCAUAUGGUGCUGGUUUGAGUCCCAGCUGCUCCACAUCCAAUCCGGCUCCCUGCUAAUGUGCCUGAGAAAGCAGUAGAGGAUGGCCCAAGCACCUGGGUCCCUACACCCACGUGGGAGACCCGGAAAAAGCUCUUGGUUCCUUGAAGAAAAUAUGUCAGUGGGAUUAUGAGUAUUUACCCGGGUUUUCUACAGUGAUCUUGUACUUCUUUCGUAAUGAAAACCAUGAUGGAUGGGAGUUCUUGGUGCUGUCCCCUGUAGGAGUGACUGUGUCCCAAGGGAGGCAUCUUUAAUUGCAUCACAGCCUUGCAGGAAUUUAAAGAAAUGCACAGAGUACCUUGGGUCAGUUGGCAAGUGACAGGAUGCCUGUGAGCCUUUCCAGACCGAGGCACCUGUGUUGUGCCCCCUUCCCACUGCUGACCCCCUGCUGACUCACCACCGACGUUUCCUGGCUGUGAAAGAUGCCCCCCAUCGCUUGCUCCUGUUGCUGUGCCAAGCUGUGUGUGUUUAGCUUCUUGAGAAUCUUGCCUCAGAAAUCAGCCUGCCUCCCUCCUUCACUGUGGGAACCACUUUUCCUUGCAUUCUCUGCCAUCAGACCCAUGGUUAAGGGAAUGGCUCACUGAGACUGGGAAGUGGCGGGGCCUUCGAGGGACACGGAGACAGACCUUCAUGGAUGCUGUGUUCCAGAGUACUUUCAUUGGAAGCUGGACCCCUCGUUCUGAAGCCGGUAUGUCGACACCGUGACUGUGGACCCACGUUGUUGACAGCCUAAAGCUGCAGUUUGAACACGUGUACGUUGAUUGAAUGAGGGCUGUCCUUGGCUGUGCUGGGUGUGUCUUCUUGCAUCAUUGUCUCACCUGUGGGCGAGAUACUGUCUUGAUUUCACAUCUGAGAAGGUUGAAGCUUAGUAAAGUCCUAGUCCCCUCCCCUUCCCCUCCCCCUCCCCUCCCCCUCCCUUCCCCUCUCCUCCCCUCCCCUUCUCCUCUCCCCCUUCCUUCCUCUCUCUCCCUCCCUCCCUUCCUUCCUCCCUUCCUUCCUUCCUAUUUUAACUUUAUUCUUUUACUUAUUUGAGAGGCAAGGAGACACAGAGAGAAAGAGAGACAGAAGAGAUCUUCCAUCUGCUGGUUCAUUCCUCAAAUAUCUACAAUAGCCAUGGUUAGGCCAGGCUGAGGCUAGGAGCCUGGAACUCAGUGUGAGCUUCCCACGUGGGUGGUAGGGACCCAACUGCUUGGACAAUCACUUGCUGCCUCCCAGGGUGUGCAUUGGCAGGAAGUUAAAAUCAGAAGUGGAGGUUGGAUUCAAACCCAGAAACUUCGCUGUCGGAUGCAGGUGUUCCAAGCGAUGGCCUAGCUGUUGUACCAGACGCCUACCCCAGGAAGCUGUAGAUGUAAUGAGCUUGGUGGUUCACCCCAAUGUGCACUUACACUUGAGAGUUACUGCUGUGUUUUGUAUGAAGCUGGGUUCUGGACACUGCCAGGAUUUGAAGAAAAGAUGCUGUCCUUGCUCUUAAUGGGUUCACUGUGUGAUGAGAGAGACACGCUUGAACGGAAGGCAGAACAUAACUGUGGCUGUGCAGAGUGACUCAUUGAUCACAGCAAGCCUCCGUAACAAGUAGCAAAGCAGUGGGGGCGAAUGUUUGGUGCAGCGGUUAAGACGCCAGUUUGGACACCAGUAUCCCCUCGUGAGUGUGGGGCUCCGUGCCUGACUCCUCGCCACCGUUCCCUGUUGACGCAGACCCUGGAGGCAGCAGUGACGUCACCAUUAUUUGGCUUCUUGCCAGGAUUGCGCUCCCAGCUCUCGGUUUAAGCCUGACCCAGUUCUGGCUAUUGUGGGCAUUUGAAGGAAUGAACCAAUGCAAAAGAAUUCUCUCUUUGUCUCUUUCUCCCUAUUGUAUAAAUGAAAAAAUAAAAAAAAAAGCAAAAGAAAUGUACUGGGUUAAUAAUUUUGUGGCAACAGAAAUCCCUUGCAGAACCGUAUGCUCUACAUCCUUUCUACUGUAGGGGGAGGAUGUGGUGAAGGGCGGAGUGGGCGUCUGAUGAUGUAGAAGGUAAUUGAGGUAAACGCUCAGAUGUUCACAUGACACUCUUUAUUAACCCCUAAAAUGCACUCUUUUAAUUAUUUGUUAAAAUCUAUGUAUGGAGCUGUUGAGAGAGAGAGAGAGAGCUCUACUCUCUCCCCAAGUGCCACAAUGGCCGGUACCAAGGCUAAGAGCUAGGCAGGAACCCGACUACUCAAGGCAUUGCUGCUGCACUGGCAGGAAGCUGGAGCCAGAUUUUGAACCCAGGUAUUCUAAUGUGGGAUUCAAGUAUCUCAACUGACAUCUUAGCAGUUGGCUAAAAUCCCUCCUGCCAUGUGGUAGUGAGACUACAUCCAAGAGGAAACCAACAGCCAACUGAAAGAGAUGGUAUUUAGGAGAGGAGCUCUCUGGAUCUACUCUGGGGGGUGUCAGCAGUAGAAUCAGGGCUGGUUCCAUGUAGCAGGCAAAGCAUCAUGAACCUGGGAAGAAAAUCUUGCGUUCAUUCUGAUCAAGUUUCUCCGCAUCUGGGUAAGAGAAGCUGUGGUCCACUCACAUUUACCAUUUCGACAGCUGGCUUGGAUGAAGUCCAUGUCAUAGCUUCUGGCAUUGCACGGCCAUGCUUUCUUAUCUGCGCCACACGAUGACAUUGCUUUCUGGAAAAUCUUGACGUGGGAAGUUUUGGAAGCUUGUUCUCUGGUGUCCCACAUAAGUAGGGUUGGGUCAGGCCAUUGUAGAGUUUGCUGAGUGAGCUCUCCCUGCCCCUCACUGUCACUGGGGGAGGAUAUGAGCGGGGGACAGUUAAUGGUAUUCUAUAGUGUGCAGAGGAAGGAGAAGUUAUUAGCACUGUGUUGGAGAAGAUGGCAUCUGGAGUGGACCGAAAGGAUCAUCAAGCAACCACAGGACAGACAUUCUAGUGACAUGCACCUGCAGUUGGUGCAGUGUAGUGCUAGGACUGUGUAUUGCAAGUGACAGGAAGCCCAAGUAAAACUGGCCUCAGAUUUACUCAGGAGUUUGAGUACGUUUCAGGGCAGGCUGAUCCAGCAGCUCAGGUGAUGUCCUUAAGAACCCAGGUUCAGGGCCGGCGCUGUGGCUCACUUGGUUAAUCCUCCGCCUGCGGCGCCAGCAUCCCAUAUAGGCACGGGUUCUAGUCCAUAUGGGACUCUUCCAGUCCAGCUCUCUGCUGUGGCCCGGGAGGGCAGUGGAGGAUGGCCCAGGUGCUUGAGUGCCUGCACCCGCAUGGGAGACCAGGGGGAAGCACCUGGCUCCUGGCUGCGGAUCGGCACAGUUCCAACUGUAGUGGCCAUUUGGUGGGUGAACCAACGGAAGGAAGACCUUUCUCUCUGUUUCUCUCUCUUUGUCUAUAAUUCUGUCAAAAAAAAAAAAAAGGAACCCAGGUUCAGUCUUUCUCCUCUUGGCCUUUCCCACCAUCAGCCUGUUGCCCCACGAUCUCAUAAUCCCCGUCUCAGACCUGCUGUGCCUGUGCCUUGGUUUAGGUCCUUGCAGAGGCUAAGGUACAUGAGGGUAAGCGUUUGAAGAGGUUCUGGUGCCCAGUUGUGAGGUGCUUAUCAUGCAAACCUGUGACUCCUGGACUUGCUCCAGCAAAUAAUUGAGUGACCACUGGGUGCAAAGUGCACUGUAAGGCAGGCAGUUACCCGUUAACUGUGGUGGACCCUGGCCGUCACAAGAUGUGCAGUCUUAGGGUGUGCCUACAGCAACCAGCAAGGGAAAAAACGUUGGAAAAACUUGUUGCACUGAAUCAGUCACCUCUUGAAAUUCGUGUUUGCUUUCUUGCAUGGGAGUAGGUGUGCAUUUUUGCCAGGAGGGGAGGUUCUAGGUUUCGAGUCAGCCUCAGGAGUAAGAUUGGAAGGUGAGAGUAGUUUGUUGAGCUUUUAAGUGAAGGACUGCUUUCCAAGUAGUGUGUGAGUUCUUGGCGGGCAGGCUGUGUUUCAGCAUUGGUCAGGCCAUGUACGUAGCCCCAGAAUAGCAUCUGAGUUACGAUUUACCUGUCGUCUUCUCCCCAACUUGCGAUGGUUGAUGGGCAGAAAAUCCCUGUGAAACCUUGACUCAAGCCACAGAAUGGCUGAAUAAUUCAAGCUUGACUUUCUGGGGGAAGAUUUUUGAAUCCCCAAAUAGGACUCUUAGGGAAAUGUGCAUGAGGUCUCUUUUUUCCUCCCCUUUUAAGCGUAAUUAGGGUUUGCACUUAAGUAACGGGAGGGGGCUCAGAUUCAGGGGGAGUUUUUGUUACCAUGAGCUUAAAUUAUACACCAGGAUUCUCCUCUCCCAUAACCAUCAGUAAAAAGCAAAAACAAAAUUCAAAACCCAAAAUAAAUAAAAAACACACUUAUUUGAUCUCUGUCUACCUUGAAGGGUCUUGGUUAUGCUGAUGGGAGAAAAAUAAUUUGUGGUCAUAUCUUAGAAUCUUUUACUCUUUUUGGUAAAACACAAAAAGAAAAACCUCUUUUUUUUUUUUCUUCUGCAAUGGCCAGGGCUGGGCCAGGCCAAAGCCAAGAGCAAGGAGCUUCUUCAGGACUCCCAUGUGGGUGGCAGCUUCCCAGGUAUUUGGGCCAUCCUCCAUUGCUUUCCCAGGCCAUUAGCAGGGAACUGGAUCAGAAUUGGAACAGCAGACCUGAACUGGUGCCUGUAUAGAAUGCCAGUGUCACAGGCAGUGGCUUUAACCACUCUGCCACCACCCUGGCACUUCUUUUUAUCUGACAAAUUACAAGUUUGGGGCUAUUGUCAGAGCACAGUGGGUUAAACUGCUGUGUGUGACACUGUUACUCCAUAAGUGCACCAGUUGGAGCCUAGGCUGGCUGCUCCGCUUCCAAUCCAGCUCCCUCUUAAUGUACUUGAGAGAGCAGUGGAAGAUAGCCCAAGUACCUGGGCUCCUGUCACCCAGCUGGGGUUCCAGGCUCCUGGCUUCAGCCUGGCCCAGCCUGGCCCCCACCAUUGCUGCCAUUUGGGGAGUGAAUCAGAGGACAGAUGACUCUGUCUCUUCCUCUGUCUUUGUAACUCUGCCUUUGAAAUAAAUAAAAAAAAAAUCUUUUUUUAAAAAAUUAGAGUGGCCAGCAUUGUGGCAUAGCAGAUAGAGUGGCCACCUGUGAUGCUGGUGUCCCAUAUGGACACCAGUUCCAGUCCUGGCUGCUCCACUUCUUAUCCAGCUCCCUGAUAAUGGGCUGGAAAAAGCAGCAGAAAAUGCCCCAAGUGGUUGAGCCCCUACCAACCACGUAGGAGAUCCAGAGGGGGUUCCAGGCUCCUGGCUUUGGCCCAGCCCAGCCCUGGCAUUACAGCCAUUGGGGGUGUAAACCAGUGGAUGGAAGAUCCUCUUUCUCUGUUUCUCCCUCUCUCUCUCUGUAACUCUGAUUUUCAACAUAAAUAAUUCUUUGAAAAAUUAGAAAUUGUCAUGAAAUUGUUUAUUCUUGUUGCUUUCUUGGGUGUGUUCUUCAGUGUCUUUUCUCUGUGAUUGGAACAGUCACGCCAAGGUUGAAACUAUGUUUUGCUUAUUAGUAUCAAUGCUCUUCCAGCUGCUUUAAAUGCUUGGUAAAUGUUCUGUGUUCUCUAAUUUCUCCCCAGCAUUCCAGGUUAGGCUUUUGUCUUUCCUUCAUUUCCUUUCGUUCCUUUUCACCCUGGUCAUCUUUUUAGGCAGUGCGCUGUCAGCGGUACUUUAGAGACCUGUUAUUCAAGUUGUGGGUCCUGCUGUGAGACGAAAACUCGAAUUUAGAUACUUUCUUCCUGAUAUGUUUUCCCACCUGAAUCUCUGUUCUGUUGCCAGUGCAUUUUGGGGAGAAGAUGAGCUAAUUUACGGGAAAUUGAAAUAGUCCUUGAAGAGAACUUGUUCAUUCAAAGGUUUUCAGGUGAAAUGUUAGGAAAAAAAUUGAGUGUACCCAAAGAAAAGUCAGAUAAGGGCCCAGUGAGUGCUUUGGGUGACGUUCAGGUGGGCUCACCUCUACAGACAGAGCUGAUCUCCCCCAGGUUCCUGGUGCCCCUGGCCUGGGAGGGACAAGUGGCGCUUGGCAGAGGGUUUACUGGAAGGUGCACUGGGUGAGCAGGCAGGGAUUAGCACUGCUGGGCUCCGUCUCCAGCACUGACGUGACCUGUGAUUUGGGUGAGGCUUUCAGUUGCUUUCCCCUGUCCCUGGAGCAGCUGGAUGGGAUGAUGCUGUGCGCCGUGCAAUGGAAGGUAAAGCUCCUCCCAACCGUCUGACCUGCUGGCCUAUCGUUGCUCCAGCUGUGCCGGCCUCUGUCCCUCUCCCUCCUCUGGCUCUGGUCACGCCAGCCUCACCGAGCUGCUUGCUUGCUCAGCUUGUUCUGUGUCGCCUGCUCAUUGCCUUCCUGAAUCUGAACCAUCCAUCCAGGGCCACUCCGCAUGGCUUCAGGCCUUUCCUACCUUCCCAGGUCUUUAAUGAGUUGCUCCUUCUCUGAAGCCUUAUUGUACUUGUGGUCCACCCCAUACUGUGCAACACGGCCACGUAUUGGCCCCACUUGCCGUUCUUUUAUUGUGGCCUUUUUUGGAUCUGGAAGGGACUGUGUAUUCAGGCUUUUCUUGACAUCUAACUCUCAGAGAACUUUGAGGACAAAGACGAUGUCCUCAUUAUGUCCCCGUUGCACCCAGCGUAACCUGGGCCAAUAAUAGGUGUCCCAUUGACCACUGGUGAUUAAGCCCAGGAUUGCUAGGAAACAUGAAAGCUCCAGCAUUCCAGCAACUCACUGGCCUAACAUGCAGGGCAAGAACAGAAGCGCAGAAUGAAAUUUAAAGCUCAGGCUUUCCACGAGGCUCUUUCCUGUCUUCACAGUAGGUGUGCAGGGGCUUGCUUUCCCCUCGACGUUCCUUACUUUCUGGGAAGGAUUUUUCACAUUUAACUCAAAGCCUUGUUGGUCCGUCGCGGAUGCUAACACACCAGCCCGUGAAGGCAGCGUCUCCCCCUCCAGCCUCUGCUGUGGGGCAUCACCACAUUUCCAUGUCCUGUCAGUCCCACUUCUGCCCUGUGCUUGGGCUCUGAUGGUUCACCUGAUGGAAACUUUACCGAGGUCACUCUCCUGUCUGUCCUGUUUAACCUUGAAGUUCAGAGCUCACCACGCCUGCUGCGGUGCGGAUCUGUGUUCCUGUUUCACCACCGUUGUACGGUGGGAGAAUAUUAGGGCUGGAACAUAACAGAGGAAAGGACAUGGCUGCAGAUGGAGCCCUGGCAUUGUCAGCUGUAGCACAGGUACCUACGAGGCAGACCACUGUGUCAAAGAGGGCACCACGACCCUGUCUGCUUAUUGGUCAUUUGCUCUCCUGUAAGACGCUGGUUGCAUCGUGCUGUCCCCUGAGCUUGGCGGAACACACUUUGAAAAACACCAGUCUAGCUAGGCUGUCUCAUUUUCCACCUGCAGAAACUGAAUUUCAGAGGAGCAGAGUGGUUGGGCUGAGCCCCACAGCCUCCUUGAAGCUGUAUCUGCCCACCCAUCUCUGCCUACAGCAUUUCACAUAGUGGGUGUUCAGCCGGUUGAGAGAGAGAAUGCAAGGCAUAAUUAAGUGGGGUUGAAUGAUUUCCUAAUGGAUUUUACAUUUGCAAUGAAAAGGAUGUACGUGGCGGUGCAGUUCCUCCCAUAAUUCUCAACCCUCGGCUGUUUGAGCCACAGCAACAGGAUGAAGAAUGGCCAAAAAAGGUCACGGGCGUGAAGUUCAGCUGUCUUGGACGGGCACUGAGUAGUUUUUCUUGGCUUUGACCUGCAAUUUCUUAGCUUUCUCAUCGAGGCCUUAGCUAACUUGGGUCAGAUGGAAGGGUCUGUAUGUUUUCAACAAGCAAGUAUAGGAAGGGGCGGGCACAGAGACUUUGUGUUUUGUUACCUAAGCUGGGAUUUGAUCUCCGGACCUUCAAGGUGAAAGGCUAAUACCUUAAUUUGUGUGUUUUAUAAACAUCCCCAGGCGAUGACCUUCUUCUAGCCUCGCGCGAUACUCACAUUCUUCAGGGCCGAGAGCUAAAGUUUCGGGCUGGGAAUGGAGUGGUGUGUGUGUCGCCUGCUUGCUCAAGUUCAGAGGCAGCAGGGUGCCGUCCCUGCAUUCCUUGUUGGUGAAAUUUGCUUGCUCAAAGUGCAUUGCAAGCUUGCUGGGGAUUUCCUGGCAGAAUGGAAUUCCUGCCUACAGAGAAAGGUGUAUCUAUCUCCUGGUUGAAAAACGAAAACCAACAAGUUCCCCUCUCCAGUGGGACAUGUGUCCCUUUAUAGCUUCUCCGAUCCUGAACGCUUUCCUGUAAGGGUCAUCUUUAUUUCUCUGGUGUCAGUCAAAUUAUUUCUCAGCAGAGCGUGAAAAUGGAGAUGGAGACGCUUCAUGGCUGUGUGUUAGAACCACACUGAAAGUUUUGUGUUUUAUGUAAAUAGAGAUUGAUGGAACAUUUUACACAGAGUACGGGCUUUUGACAAAAAGUAUUGAUGGUUGCUUUCAGUAAGUGUUACUUGAGAUGACAGAACAUUGCAUUUUAAGAUGAAUUACACGAGAAACUCCCUCUUUGGGAAUGUCAUACGUUUUAUUUCAUCUGUUGUUUUAUGAGAGAAUGACUGAAGUCAUGAAUACCUCAGACUGAACUGUUUCCUUUGCGCAUUCUAAGUCCCGGCUUGGUGCACUCCUAUUUUAAAUAUAAAGUUAUGGGGAAAAUAUUUAUACUGGCAAAUAAUAUUGAUAAAAAUGCUUAAGUGUUCAGGAGCAGAACAUAACUUCUCACGUGGUUUCCUCUUGUGUGGCAGUGAUUUGUGGGAAGCCUGGGAACUGGCUUGGAGUUAAAUAUAUCUGGUUUUCAGAAAGAUCUCAGAGAUUUGGCUUGCAUAAGUGGCUAUUUUGGGGGGGGGUGUCAGUGAUUUCUCCGCUCUGGUUAUAUGUAGAUUUUAAAAAUGCUCUCCAUUCAUUUAUCAUUAUUUGUUCCUGAGGCCAGGGCUUAGAAAUCAGGGGCUGUUGUAACCAGUUUGGGGUCUUAAUUUUCUUUAUAGCAUUAAUUCGUAGAUGUUAGCUUCCUGGCAUCUCAGGACUUAAUUGUGUUAAUAGAUAGUAUGUUUAUUGAGCUCAUAUCUCUGCCAGGAACUGGGGGAUACAGUUCUGAUUUUCAUGUGGUUUACACUUGAGUGAGGGAGAGAGGCAGUAAGCAUAAUAGAAUUUGAGGUAGUGCUGUAUGUUAUGGAGAAAGUAAGGUAGGGAUAAGAGGUUAGAGUCUCUGGGAAGGUUGUAUGGGAACUCUUUUAGAUGAAGAUGUCAGGGAAGACUGCUCUGAGAAUCAGCAUUUCAGCAAAGAGCUGAAUGAUGAGAUGGCUUGGGAAGCUGACAGAUGGAAUAGCAAGUGCAAAGGGCCUGGGGCCUGGACUGGCUUGCUGUGUUUGAGGAGCAGCAUGCGUGCCAGUGCAGCCACGGUGGUGGGUAUGCUCCAAGUCUGGAGGGUGCCCUGAUGGGCUGACAGGAAGACACAUACAAGAGGAGUGUGAUUCUGCACGUCUACCCGAUGCAUGUGCCACAGGGUUCUUGUUUUAUGAUCAUACUGUCUUCAUCUACCUCGCGCUUGGCCAAACCGCCCUCCCUGUUUCCCCCUUGCUGGCUAUCAUAGAAAUGUCUUACUUCCCCAUUGACCCUCUUGCUCCACCGUUUGCUGGAUGCCAGCAUUGCACGGGUAGAUCCAGCCCCAGGCACCAGGGAAAUUUGGAACUCUGAUGCAGUUAAAUGUGUUCUCAUAUACUUUAGUGUUACUGUCUUGCACAGGGGCCACGCUAGUCCUCUGUGUGUCUUUCCAUACAUUCUCUGUGUGUGCUGCCACAGUGAGCACUUUAGUGUUACUCUCUUGCAGUGCUGAGCCCACACUGUUCUAAUUAGUUAUGUAUGCAGUUACCUCUCCAGCUUUGCACUGCUCUUGUUCACGUUUGGGCUGCGGGUGCUAGUGCAGUGCCGGCCGCCACAAAAUGCUCAGUGUGUUUGUUGGCUGAGUACAUGAAACCAUUCUCUCCAUGUUACUUGGUUGCCUGUGAUGAGUUGAGGAAGUAGGGUGAAUGCAAAGUUAGUGAACUCCCUACUUUUAUAGAAGGAGUUAAAGCCCAUGGCGGGAAACAAGAAUUUUUUUUUUUUUUAAGGGAGGUAGGGAAGCCUUGCUUUGGAGCUACUUUAAAGCAGUUAAGAGUUUAAAGACUCUUGCAGGUUUGAGAACUGCUGCAUGGAAAGCCUGAUGGGGUGGCAGGGGCCAGCCACGUCCGCAGACUUUGCAGCAUUGGUGUCUCCAUCCCAGGGCCUUACAAGAUGCUUUGUCCUCCAUAAAUUUGGAGCUGAUUUGGAGCUAGCUGGCUGUUUUUCUCCCUGAUGAAUUAAUGUGCUGUUCAGCCUAAGCUCAAAUAUGAAAUAUAUUAAAAGCAAACUGAAAACAGGUCAAUGUUUUGCCUCUAAUGCUGUGGGAAUAUUUGUUUUUAAAUCAUCUUUUAGUACUCCACAAAUCUUCCCUAUAAAGUUUUUUCUUUUUCUUUUUCAAAGCAGAAACUAUUUUUCCCGGUGUAAAAGGCCGUUUCUUAAGUCCUGUUUUAUUCAGAAAUUUACAUGGAGAAAACAGCCCUGGAUCCCACACAAGUGAAACUUUAUUUUUUAAUCUGGGGCACAGUAGGGAGCCCUGAGAAAUGCAUUUUCCUCCAAGAUUGUAGGAGGAAUACGCAGUGUUUGUUUAAAGCAUCAGGUAUUGAGAAAUGUAAUGGCAGGGUGAAAAGUUUGACCUCAGCUGCCAGAUCCGAUCUGCUAGGGGGUAAUUGAGUUGCCAUGUUUUUUUCCUCUUCAGUUUAAAUCAAGUUUUGCUAUAGCCCAUUUAAGUGUCAAAUUGGUAGCAAAACUUGACAACUUCAGGGUGCAGACUUGCUUUUGAUCAGAAUUUACAUGCAAAUCAUUUUUGCCUUGAACUGUCAACUCCUGUUUCUGAUACUCUGAGGGGGGACACGUCUCUCCCCUCCUCUCCUCUGUACCCCUCCACCCCCCCAGCCAAAGGGGAUGUUGGCUAAUGUUAUUAAUCAGUGUGUGGAAGAAAAAUUAUCUUGAUAAAUAUGGUGGUUAAACUAUAUUUUCCCUUUUGUGUGUCAGCUGUUGCAGCUGGGCAUUUAAUCUCCUUUUACCUAGAAGGAAAUCAGACAAUUAUCCAGCUCUUGAUGUCAAAAAGAAACUAGUGACUGCGGGUGGAGGGUCCCCAGUGUGUUGGGGACUGGACUUAAGCCCCUACAACCUGACAAAGGGUGCUGACAGUCGGCAUUUUCUUGGGCAUUAAACAAAGUCUUUGGUAACUUUAAAGAAUCUUGCCUUGCAUGACUAAACUCAUUGAGAGGGUUAGAGAGAAAACUGCCUCAGAAGUCUUAAGCCUGAAACUUUUUUUUUUUUUUUUUGGUUUUGCCCUAAACCCUCGGGAUGCUUAAAAGCACGUGAGCGUGUGUAGUUCCAUGGUUCAGCGAGACAAAGGAGCGCUGGCACUUUCACAGAGUUAAUAAUGACAGUAGCAAGUCUGUUUUGUUUGUAGCCAUCCUGUCUUAGCAUUCCUGGUCAUCUGCCUUCCUGAAGAAUUUAAUUGUGAUUUAACCCCUGUCUCUCCAUUCUUACAGACAGUCCCACUCUGAAACACCAGAAAAUAGGAGUCAUUAAAAAAAAAAAAAACAAACAAACAAAAAACAAAAACAACACAUGGAAGGAAAGAAGUUUCUAGAACUCACUGUAGAAGAAGAGAGCUGAGUGUGUUCAUAAUGAUCCACUGUGGAGCCUAGACAUUUAGGAAAAAAGUGUGAGAUUUUUACUUGUAGCCAACUCUAAACUCCUUCUCAUGGCUACACCCCCAGCGGGGCGAGAACACCAAACGUGUCACCUUGCCAACGCGACAGCCAGCGUCGUGUCAACCAUACACACGCAAGCCUGCCUGAUGAAGUCAGAGGGGCUGCGGGAUCGGAUUGGCUUGAUCCGGCUGGGGGCCCCCUCACAGACCCUCCUAGAAAUGUGACCGCCAUGGUGGGGGUGGAAGGGGGCCCUGCCGGCUGUGUCCGGGGCUGGCUGCCUGUGUGCUGUGAAAUUUUAAUUGAAUUGUUAAUGACACCGAGGAGUGACACAACACAUGAGAAACUUCCAAGAAUCAGUCAGGAGGAGCCCUUUUUCUUACUGUUACAAAACAGAAGACACUGGGAAAUUGACAAGUCCAAGAGGCGAGGCCAGGGCAGUAAUUGAUAGCAGGCUGCCGAGAGCCAAGGUCCUGCGCUGGUAAUUGCAAGCAGGGGCUGCCUCUCUGAUCUCGCCAGUGGUGCUGGCCGUGCCAGAGCGACCCGGCGUUGACGGAUGGCUUUGCCGCAGUAAUGACUUAGGCAUGUUCCCUCUCCUGCGUGAGGCCAUGUGUCCCUCCCACUGGAGAAAAUGAGCUGAGCAUUUUGCUGCUUCUUUAACAGGAUGCUGUUAAAAUAACUCUAUUCCGUUAUAUAAGCCCUGUAGUGCCAGGGGCUAAAUUUAUAUGGUUAUAAACAAGAGAUAUUACUUUGGAAUACCACAAUACUGUGUUUUGCUAUUUCUUUAGGAUUUCAAAUGGUGUUUUCAAAAUAAUGGAUUUUACUUGAAGAAAAAGAAUGGGGGCUGGGGGAGGGGCGCAGAGGGAGGAAGGAUCCCAUUUCGGAGCAAAACCCUCAUCCUAUUUUGAAAUUCCUCUGUGUGCCUCCCCUAAUUCGCUAGCCCAGUAUUUAUUUAUUUGUAUUUGUGUUUGGGUUGCUGGCUGGAUUUGGCUCUCUGUGGGGGCAUCAGAAAUACUAUUUACUCCAGGAUUCUGAAAUAAGAUAGAAAUUUUAUUUCAUGUUUUUUAAACUCCCCAAAGGUUUCUUUUCUUUUUUUUUUUUUUUCUUUUUUCCCAUUUCCUACUUCUGGACAUUGAUAGAUUUCAGAACUUUCAUGUGGCUUCCCUCCCUCCCUCCCCCCGCUCCCCCUACUCCCUCUCCCCCUUCCUAGAAUAUAAUUUUGUCCAUGAAAUAUGAUGGUCAGCCGAAAUGUCCCUGCUGAUCUGCAGCAUGUCGGAUUGGCACCCCUGUCAGGGACGAACGCUGAUUCUCGUGGAGGGGGCCCCCAAAGCGUUUCCCGCAUGGCUCGCACCUUCUGGCCUGUUUAAAGUUCAGGUCCCUCACCUCAUCUGUGUCCAAACACAGUUUCACACCAAGAACCAGCCUCAAAAGACUGCCGGGAAGAGCCCUCAACACUCAGCCUCAGACUUCAGAAAUGAAAAGCGGCUCUGUGCGUGUGCAUGUGCGUGCGCACGCAUGCGCACCCCGCUCUCAGGUGCAGAUGAGUUUUGAUGGAGAACUUAGCGGGAGGGACUCAGAUCACUUCUGGGAGAACGGGUAGAGGACAGAUCAGGCUGCAGUUACUUACCUUAUAUUUAGUCUCUAAUUCUCCAACUUGAAUGGAGGUUUAAAUGACAGUGGGCGCCCAGGCCAUCUCAGAAGAUUUAUUUCUGUAAAAUGAAAAGCACUCUUCCAGGUGAAAUAGUUUUGUGGGCCAGCCUGACAGUGUAACCAUAAUAGCACUGGUUCUACUGGAAAAUUCCUCCAAAGGCCCGACUUGAAUACAGGGUGCUAGGAAAACGAUUUUCCUAGCCUUCGCUCUCACUGCCUGUGACGUGGGAAGGGAGGACUUCCCUCUUGGACGACUCUAGCAGCAAAGUGGUGGGCUCUAGCCUGCCAUUAGGGCCUGGCGCAAGGCUGUGAAUUCUUCCUGUUGUAGCGUUCGUGUGUGGUGUGUGGUGUGUGUGUGUGUGUGUGUGUGUAAAAGCCAGAUUUUGAUUUUUGUUUUUUUCUGCAUCAUUUGAAAUCCCUAUAAUAAUGAGAAACAAUGUGAAGAUCAUUUUGCUUUUUGCAGCUUUUAUGAGAAGCAACAGACAAAUGAAAGGUGUAUAUGUAUCUGGUGUCUAACCUGAUGGUUUGACUAUUGUGUUAUUCUGGUGGGGGGCAUGCUUGUCAGUACGAAGGUGUUAGAGUCUGGUAAUUAACUUCACUUCUGUUUUCAUUAUUUUUUUAAAGAUUAAUUUUAUUUAUUUGAAAGAGAGAGAGAAGGAGAACAGAGAGAGAGAGGUCUUCCAUCUGCUGGUUCACUCUCCAGAUGGCCGCAAUGGCCAGAGCUGCGCGGAUCCGAAGCCAGGAGCCAGGAGCCUCUUCCGGGUCUCCUGCAGGGGUGCAGGGGCCCAAGGACUUGGACCAUUUUCCACUGCUAUCCAGACCGUAGCAGAGAGCUGGAUCAGAAGAGGAGCUGCUGGGACUAGAACUGGUGCCCAUAUGGGAUGCCAACACUUCGGGCCAGGGCUUUAACCCACUGCGCCUCAGCGCCGCCCCCUCCCCUUUUUUAAAGAUUAAUUUUAUUUGUUUGAAAGAGUUAGGAGAGGCAGAGAGAGCUCAUUAUUGAUAUGGUUGUCAGCAUGAUGCUUUUGGCCUUUGGCCUGUCUUUCUUGUGUUUUCAGUGUAUUUUAUUUUAAAGCGUGGUUCUCAGGGGUUUGGGAGAGCACCCCACUCCCAAGGGACACUUAAUUUGUCAUACCUGGGGCUGGGGCGGUUGCUCCUGGCAUCCUGCGGGUGGAGGCUGGAGGUGCACAGGCCAUCUUCUGCGGCAGUUACCAGGUCUGCAGCGGCAGUCUCGUGUAGCGUGGUGACGUAUAGAAAUAAGCUCUCAGUAAACGUCCAAGAAUUGAGUCAGAGACUACGCUCUGUCAAUCAACCAGUGUUAACUAAGAGCAUGGAGCUGCUGUGGGUGUCCCAGAAGCAAAGGGAUUGGAGGAGUGCCCAGGUUAGACACACACCUGGGCUCAGGGGGUGGCUCUGACUCUGGACUUGUUGCUGCUAUGCUAAAGCGGAUGCAUGACAGCACUGGUAUCUUCAUAGGACAAAGCCUGUAGACAAGUGUGUGACUUACACCAGACCUCAGUCAGCAAAUGAUAGCUGUGUGUAACGUGGUUGCGCUCUAAAGGUGAUGACAUUAGUGAAGCUUGGAGAUCACUUUACUGAGGUCUUCUGUUUUACAGAUAAGGUUCCUGAGUCUCAGAGGAUAUCAUUUACCCCAAAUUGUGAGAGCUAGUAAGAGAUGAAGUUGGACUAGAACCCAGACCUCCUGACCCUGAGUCCCGUGUUCUUUACAGUGAUAUCAAGCUUCAUGGUCUAAUCCUUGAGUCUUGUUGCGGGGGCUGGUGCUGUGGCGCAGUGGGUAAAGCCACCACCUGCAGUGCUGACAUUCCAUAUGGGCAUCAGUUCAAGUCCUGGCUGCUCCACUUCUGAUCCAGCUCUCUGCUGUGGCCUGGGAAAGCAGUACAAGAUGGGCCAAGUCCUGCACCUGCCUGGGAGACCCGGAAGAAGCUCCUGGCCCCUGGCUUCGGGUCUGCGCAGCUCCGGCCGUUGCAGCCAUUUGGGGAGUGAACCAGCAUGUGGAAGACCUCUCUCUAUGCCUCUAUGCCUCUCCUUCUCUCUCUGUGUAACUUUUUCAAAUAAAAUGUUUAAAAAGAGUCUUGUUGAGAAGGAAAGUCUAAUGUGAAAAAAUGAGAGCAAUAUUUGUUGUCAAAAUUUCCAGUCUGAGAGCUCUGGAUCCUGAAAGGUCACAGGCAGAGGUAAGUAGGAUUAUGGUUUCUAUUGACCACAGAACUCCUGGGGAUUCUGUUACCAUGGUUGUCCAGAAUCUUGUGCUGGGAGCUGAAGGGAGCGAGAGGAGCACUGUAGGGAAGUCUUGAGCUUUAGUUCUUUUAGUACUGAGCAGCAUUAUUUCAUGGGGGAAGUUGGAAACUUUCAUGAAGUUUCUUAAAGACCUGAGACAGGCACAGGAAGAAUGAGAGCAUGUUUAUUGAGUGUCGAUCAGUGUUGGGCGUGCUGCCAGGUGAUUGCACACAUGCUUCCUGGUUGGAGUGGCCCGACUGCACCCUGGUGAUACGGCAUCUUCCAUGUGCAUGGUCGUGGAUGAGAAUGGUGACAGACGGGCACAACAUGCUACCUGCAAAGGCUAUGCUUUUGGAGAAGGUCCAGUGGCAGAGGAAAAUACCAUGAGCUAAUGAUAAAUAAAGAAGCACGUUACAGUGAAGUGUUACAUACUGUGGGUCCCAGUUGUACUGGGAAGUAAACAUGUGAUAUGUAAGGAAAAAAAUCCAAAGAAUCUGCUUCAGAAUAUUUACUGGCAAUUCCUAAGGUUGGGGUCAAGGAUGGUUUUAAUUUUCCUUUUUAUCUGUAUUUUUAAAAUUAGUUCCCAUUCUGUAGAUAAUUAUGAAUAAAAGUCAUUUUAUUGGAAUGGUAGAAUUGAGUUUCUUGUGCCUGGGAACCAUUAGCAACAAAAGUGGAAGGUCUUCUUUUAAGGAUCUUGCUGUAGUUCUGGAGGGAAGAUGUAUACGUAUGGAAAAUUUAUGAAUAAUAACCACCACUACUGAUAGCUAGUAAUUAUUGUACUGUGUAGUGACUGAUUGGAUUACUGCUUGCAAUCUCCAAACUUUGGAGAAUGUUUCUGGCCAUCCGUGUAGUUCACAUACAUUAUUCCACUGAAUCCUCCUGAGAGACACAUGAGGUACCUUAGUAAGUAUUCUGAUUUACUUUUUAAACAUUUUGAUUUUUUAAAGAUUUAUUUAUCUGAAAGGCGGAAUUACAGAGAGGCAGAGAGAGAGAGAGAGAGAGAGAUCGAUCGAUCUUCCAUCUGCUGGUUUACUCCCUGAAUGGCCUUAACUGCUGGGCCUGGGCCAGGCUGAAGCCAGGAGCCAAAAGCUUCUUCUAGGUCUCCCACAUGGGUGCAGGGGCCAAGUACUUGGACCAUGUUCUGCUGCGUUUCAAGGCACAUUAGCAGGGAGCUGAAUCAGAAGUGAAGCGGCUGGGACUUGAACUGGUACCCAUAUGAGAUGCUGGUGUUGCAGGCAGGGGCUUUACCUGCUAUGCCACAGCACUGGGCCAAGUAUUCUGAUUCUUUUUUAACUUAUUUGACAGGUAGAGUUAGACAGUGAGAGAGAGAGAGGCAGAGAGAAAAGUCUUCCUUCCAUUGGUUCACCCACCAAAUGGCCUCUAUGGCUGGCGCGCUGUGCUGAUCUGAAGCCAGGAGCCAGGUGCUUCCUCCUGGUCUCCCAUGCGGGUACAGGGGCCCAAGCACCUGGACCAUCCUCCACUGCCCUCCCGGGCCACAGCAGAGAGCUGGACUGGAAGCGGAGCGGUUGGGACUAGAACCCGGUGCCCAUAUGGGAUGCCGAUGCUGGCGCUGCAGGCGGAGGAUUAGCCAAGUGAGCCAUGGCGCUGGCCCCCUGAUUUUACAGAUGGAAGAACCUAGGUUUAGAGAAUUUGGAAAAUGAUGGACCCAGAAUUGACUUCAGAGUUGAAAUCUUUAACCUCCAGUUAGUAUGACUUCCCAGAGUGCUCUGCUUAGCUGGUGAGACACCUGGUGCUUGUAGCCAGUGAGGACUGAAGGAAUGACAGCCAUAGAUCAUUUCAGCAUGGGCAGGAAAAGGAAGAAGGGUCAGGAGUCUAAAAUGAGCUUUGACAGGGUUGGGAGCAAGGUUCCUUACUCACCUUCCAGCAGGAUUUGGUGUGCUUCUGGUGAACCCAGCCUGGCAUUUUAGGAUGGUUCUGUGCGGCAUUACUGGAAGUCUCCAGACCACAGCACAUGAACCACUUGUAACGUUAUGCCAGGUGUGGGGAGGGAAGAGGAGCCCAAGCCCAGGUUGGAGAAGUGUCCUGUGAAGGUAGCUUUCUUUCUUGGUCUCUCAGAUCCCAGGUUGUCCUUUUGAAGGUUGUAAGUUCAGUGACUUGGCUGAGUGUGGCUCUGAUACAGAACCUCUGCUUGGCCUCGCUGAGUCAGUCAUCUCUGAGCUCUCAGCCUGCACAUGUCUGUGGUGCCCACACAAUGGCUGAAACCACAGAGGCCACAGUAAGUGCUGUGGAAUGUGUGCAUGUUUUGCUUUUAUCAGGAAUAUCACAUGGCAUUUCCUGAUUGCACCAGCAGCUUGCUGACCCAACUGAGUUUCCAGACUAAAUACCAGCGCUCAAGCCACAUGUGUUUAUAGUAUAUAAUAAAUCUCCAUUUGUCAUUAUGGUUUAAAUUUAAAAGAAAAAGAAAGGUGAGCUGUUACAUUAAAAAAAAAAAACCCUCUUUUUGGCUGUUAUAAAUUAACUUUCUUGGAGUUUCAGGUCAAGCCCAAUUUAUUAAGGGGGAUAAGAAAAGAUAGAAACCUGGGCUGUGAGCAUGAUGGUGAUUUAUCCCCACCUUGAGCGGGUCCUCCGUCGGACCUUGCCUUGCACUGUAGCUGGCUAGGUUUUUGCAGGACCUGCUGGGAGCCAAGGUUGUAAUGAAAAACAGUUAUUCUUCCAAAUUACUCACAAGAAGAGGGCCGGUUUUAUCAAGGGCUCUCCUAAUUUGAUUGUAAGACUUUUCAUGUUUAUUUUUUUCUGCAUUAAUCAUGCCGUAUCUUUGUGGAAAGUGUAAACACAGUGGUGAAAGACAGCAUUUAAAACGAAGAAAGCCGCACCACCCCUCAGAGGACACAUGCAUGGCAGAGGUGGCCUGUCGGGAGCCCUUACCAGGCAAUUAGGAAAGUUAUUUUAGGUUUGAUAGCAACGCUGUGAACUUUCCCGGAGACUCCUGUAGUCCAGAGCAGGCUGGCAUUUUGUACUUUUGCAGAUUAACCUUUAGCGAGGAAAAGGAGUUCAGUAUUGACUUGUUUCAGCAGGAACCAGCGCGGCGCUGGCAGCCUGAGCGUGCAUCUUGCCGCAGGAAGGCUCCUCUCUGCCCUGGAUUGGCUCAGGCAGGAGUCCUGGGAGCUCCUCCCUGAGGCAGGCGUGAGCAGCUCUUCUAUUGAUACUCUGGGGUGGGCCCAGGGGUCUGGGACCCUCCUGGGUCUCUUUUCCUGGCAGUUAGAUUCUCUCUCUCUGGACAGCCUGCACUGUCUUGAGCAGUGCAGGACAAUGAAGGACACUUUCUGUUGUCAGCCAAGGCUCCCAGGUGGUCUCUGCUUCCCAGUGUUCCAUGUUGAGUGCUCUGUCUCCGUAAGGAAGGCAGCUCAGAACCACACGCCGGGUGGUGUUUUACCAACGUCCAAGUGGAUUUUCCUGUGUGUGCACGUUGCUGACAUCUGUGAUAUUUCUUAUCUGAUCUCUGGCUCCUAAGAGAGAUCUAAGUAUGUAUAUAUGAGGGGACUUCAAAAAGUUCAUGAAAAUGGAAUUAAAAGAUGAGUUCAUGGGGCUGGUCUUGUGGUACAGCAGGUUAAGCUGCUGGUUGUAAAGCCAACAUCCCAUAUUGGAGUGCUGGUUCAAGUCCUGGCUGCUCUGAUUCUGAUCCAGCUUCCUGCUAAUGUGCCUAGAAAAGCAGUGGAAAAUGGCCCAAGUAUUGGGGUCCCUACACCCAUGUGGGUGACUUGGAUGGAGUUCUUGGCUUCAGCCUGGCCCAGUCUUUGCUUGCUGUUGCCAUUUGGGGGAGAGGAACAGUAGAUGGAAGAGCUCUCCCUCCCUGUCACUCUACCUUUUGAAUGAAUGAAUGAAUAAAUACAUCUUCAAAAACAGGUAAUUUCGUGUGUAUGAGGGUCUUCAAAAAGUUCCUGGAAAAUGUACUGUAAAGAAACUGUGCAUAGAUUUAAACUAUUUUUGCACCAAAGUGAACUUACUUUUCAAUUCCGUUUUUCCUUGAACUUUUUCAAGCACGCUUGGACUCAAUUGUAUAGGCCUAUUUCUAAGAAGCUGGAGGUGCUUAAUGAGGUUCCAUUUGAGGCAGUAGAGUGAGGUAGGUCCUUAAAAAGUACUUGAAGGGACUUGUGGUAUGAAGGGUAAAUGCACCACUUGCAAUGCUGGUAUCCCAUGUGGGCGCUGGUUCAUGUCCUGGCAGCUCCACUUUUGAUCCAGUGCCCUGCUAAUGGCCUGGGAAAAGCAGUGGAGGGUGAGCCAGGUUUUUGGGUUCCUGCUACCCACAUGAGAGACCCAGAUGAAGCUCCUGUCUUUGGCUUGGUCUGGUGCUGGCUGUUGCGGUCAACUGGGGAGUGAACCAAUGGAAGGAGGAUUCUCUCUCUUUCUCUCUCUCUUUCUGUAGCUCUGAGUUUAAAGAAAAACACAAACCAAAUAAAUCUUUAAAAGUGUUUUUAAGGAAGGUAAGUCAGGUUGUAUUUAUUAUUAUGUGCUUAUUUUGUCAUUACUGUUUUUUGUCUUUGGUGACAGUAUUUAAACUAUAUUUUAAAAAAAUUAUUUUUUGAAAGAAUUAGAGAGAGAGACAGGGAGCAAGAGAACUUCCAUCUGUUGGUUCACUCUGUAAAUGGCUGCAAUGGCCAGGGCUGGGCCAGGCUGAAGUCAGGAUCCAGGAGCUUCAUCUGGGUCUUCCACAUGGGUGCAGGGGUGCAAGAAGUAGGGCCAUCCAUCACUGCUCUCUCAGGCACAUUGGCAGGGAGCUGGAUUCAAAGUGGAGCAGCUAGGACUUGAAUCGAUGCCCAUUUGGUAUGCUGGCACCACAGACAGUGCCACAGCACUAGCCCCUUAAAACUGUAUUUCUAAAGUUAGUUUUAGUGAAAUAGAAUUUACAUACACUUAAUUUGUUUUCUAAAUUAGCUGUUAGAUGAUUUUUAAAAGAAGAUUUAUGUGUUUGAAAAGGCAGAAUGACAGAGAGGGUGAGACAGAGAAAGGGAUUGUCCAUCCACUGGGUCACUCCCCAAAUGGCCACAACAGCCAGGGAUGGGCCAGGCUGAAGCCAGGAGCCAGGAGCUUCUUCCAGGUCUGCCAUGUGGGUGCAGGAGCUCAAAUGCUUGGGCCAUCUUCUGCUGCUUUCCGAGGUGCAAUAGCAGGGAGCUGGAUUGGAAGCAGAGCAGCCAGGACUCAGGCUGGUGCUCCAGGAUGGGAUGUCCACACCACAAAUGGCUGCUUAACCUACUGUGCUACAACACUGGCCCCCAUCAGAGGGCUUUUGACAGGUGCCUGUAGUCAUGUAAGCACCACCACAAUUAAGAGAGAACAUUUUCAUUACCCCAAAAUGUUCGCUUGUCCCUCUUCUCAAUGUUUCUCUCUUAAGCUCUUUGCAUUGCUGCAUCUAAUUUUUGUCUGCAGAGCCUUGCCUUUCCCCAGAAAACUGUAAUAAUAUGGUGUGUACACUUGACUUCCUUCACUUAGCUUAGUGCUAAUGAGAUUCAUGCAUAUUGUUAUAAGUAUUACUAGCUCAUUCCUUUUUAUUGCUGAACAGUAUUCCAUUGUGUGAAUAUAUCACAAUGGUGGACAAUUGACCAUUUGAUAGUAUUUGGAUUAUUUAAAUUUUUUAGGUAUUAGGAAUAAAGCAGCUAAAAACAUUUGUGCAAAAAGUAGUCUCUCUUGAUAAAUGUUCCAUGGGUCCUGAGAAGAAUGUGAAUUCUGAAACUGUUGGCUGAAGUCUUCUAUAAAUGUCAAUUAAGUUAAGUUGGUUGAUAGUGCUGUUUAGGUCUUCCAUAUUUUUAAUCAUUUAAACAAUUUUUUAAAUAUAAAUUGAUGAGAGAAAAGUAUGGAAGUCUGUUUUUCUGUCCCUUUUUUUUUUUUCUGAUUUCUUCUUCGAGCUUGGUCAGGUUUUUCCUUACAUGUUUUGUAACUCUUGUUAGAUGCACAUGCAUUUGUUAUAUCUUCUUGAUGAAUCAACUCUUUAUCCUGAACAUACUGCUUGUCUGAAACCUAUUUUGUAUGACACCAUUACACAUGUACCUACCUCUUCCUCUUUAUAGUAGACUUCUUUUAGAAGGCAGUAGUUGAGUUUUGCUUUUCUAUCCAAUCUGGUGAUUUCUGCUUUUUAAUUAGAAUGUCUAGGCCAUUUACAUUUAAUAUAAUUAGUAAUAUUGUUUCUUUUGAAUCCACCAUUUUGCAAGUUGUUUGUUCCAUUUACUCUGUUCCUGUUUCCUUCUUUUCUUUCCUUUUUUUUUUUUUUUGGAAAUAUUUGUUUAUAUUUGUGAUCCUGUUUCAUUUCCACCAUUGGAUUAUAGAUUUAUUCCUUUUAAAAAUUUUCUGUUGAUUGAUUUAGAGUGUAUAGUAUAUAUCUAACUUACCAGUUUACUUUUUUUUUUUUUUGGACAGGCAGAGUGGACAGUGAGAGAGAGAGACAGAGAGAAAGGUCUUCCUUUUGCCGUUGGUUCACCCUCCAAUGGCCGCCAUGGCUGGCGCACUGCGGCCGGCACACCGUGCUGAUCCGAUGGCAGGAGCCAGGUACUUCUCCUGGUCUCCCAUGGGGUGCAGGGCCCAAGGACUUGGCCAUCCUCCACUGCACUCCCUGCCACAGCAGAGGGCUGGCCUGGAAGAGGGGCAACCAGGACAGAAUCUGGCGCCCUGACUAGGACUAGAACCCGGUGUGCUGGCGCCGCAAGGCGGAGGAUUAGCCUAGUGAGCCGUGGCGCCGGCCACCAGUUUACUUUCAAAUAACAUACUUUAUUGUGUAUAGCUCAAGAAUUUACAAUAAUAUACUUCUGUUUCUUCUCUACUGUUCUUUGUCCCAUUGACACAUGUUUUACUUACAUAUAUGUUAUCAAUCCUGAUAAUUGUUAUUAUUUUUUUCUUUAAAGAGUAGUUGUCUUUGAAUCAGGAAAAAUGUUUUUCUAUUUUUUAUUUUAAGGGGAAAAUUAAAAUAGUCUGUUCAUGUUGUUUCUUUUUUUUUCUUUUUUUUCUUUUCUUUUUUUUUUUUUACAGGCAGAGUCAGUGAGAGAGACAGAGAGAAAGGUCUUCCUUUUUCUGUUGGUUCACUCCCCCUGCCCCAAGUGGCCGCUACAGCUGGUGCAUUGCUGCCGGUGCACUGCGCUGAUCCAAAGCCAGGAGCCAAGUGCUUCCUCCUGGUCUCCUAUGUGGGUGCAGAGCCCAAGGACUUGGGCCAUCCUCCACUGCACUCCCGGGCCACAGCAGAAAGCUGGACUGGAAGAGGAGCAACUGGGACAGAUCUGGCGCCCCAACCAGGACUAGAACCUGAGGUGCCGGUGCCGCAGGCAGAGGAUUAGCCUAGUGAGCCGCAGUACCUGCCUGUUUAUUUUAUUUGCAGCAAAAUAUACUUUGCAGAGUCAGUUUAUUUUUAAAGAGAAUAAAAUGAAAAAUAGAGCAUCAUUCUUCUUGCAUGUUUUCCAUUUCUAGAAUUCUUUAUUUCUUUGUAUGGAUCUCAUCUCAUUUUCCUUUUGGUAAGAUUUUUGUUUGAGGACUUUCUUUUUUAAAAAUGUUUUAAUUUUUAAUUAUUUUUAACAGAUUCAGUGUGCUUUGUAGAUACAGUUCUCAUAUGGUCUCGCUUAUAAAAUGUUUCAUGUGCUGAUGAGAAGAAUGUGUAUUCUCUGUAGCUGUUGGGUGAAAUUUCCUAUAAAUUUCUAUUUUCUUGAUAGUAUGUUCCAACUCUGAUGUAUCUUUAUUGAUUUUUCUGUCUAGGUGACCUGUCCACUGAUGAGAGUGGGGUGUUGGAAUCACCCACAUGAUUAUAUUGGAGUCUAUCUCUCUCAUUAGGUCUAAUAGUAUUUGUUGUGUAUAUCUGGGUGGUCUUGUGUUGGGUGCAUAUAUAAUUAUUAUGGUUUUGUCUUCACACUGAAUAGAACUUUUAUUAAAAUCUCGUGUCCUCCUUUAUCUCUUUUUAUAGUUUUUGCUUUAAAGUCUGUUUUAUCUGAUAUUGGGAUAGCUAUGCCUGCUUACUUUUGGUUUCCAUUUGCCUGGUAUAUCUUUUUCCAAUCCUUCACUUUCAGUCUGUGUACAUUUUUAUGAAGCGAAUUGCUUGUUGACAGCAUAUAGUGGAGUCAUUUUUAAAAGAAACUUAUUUAAUGAGUGCAAAUUUCAUAAGUACAGCUUUAGGAAUACAGUGAUUCUUCCCAUCGUACCCACCUUCCCACUCCCACUCCCUUGCCUCCCUCUUCCAUUCCCAGUCCCAUUCUCCAUUAAGAUUAAUUUUUAGUUAACUUUUACACAGAAGACCAGCUCUGUACUAAGUAAAGAUUUCAACGAUUUGCAUAAGCACACACAAAAAAUAUAAAAACUGUUGAGAACAAGUUUUACAUUUAAUUCUCAUAGUACAACUCAUUGAGGAAAGAGGUCCUUCAUGGGGAGUAAGUGCACAGUGACUCCUGUUGUUAGUUUAACAAUUAAUACUCUUAUGUAUGAUGUCAGUGAUCACCCAAACUCUUGACAUGAGCUGCCAAGGCUAUGGAAGCCUUUUCAGUCCAUAGUCUCCAUCAGUAGGUAGGCAAGGCCAUAAGCAAAGUGGAAGUUCUCUCCUCCCUUCCAAGAAAAGUACAUUGUUCUUCGAUAGUCCCUUCUUUCCACUGGGGUCUCAUAGAGAUUGUUCAUGUAGGAUUUUUUUUUUUUUUUUGGCCACAGUAUCUUUGCUUUUCAUGCCUGAAAUGCUCUCAUGGGCUUUUCAGCCAGACCAGAAUGCCUUAAGGGCUGGUUCUGAGGUCAGAGUGCUAUUUAGAGCAAUUGUCAUUCUAUGAGUCUGCUGUGUGAACUGCUUCUCAUGUUGGAACAAUCUCUCCUUUUUAAUUCUAUCUAUUGUUAUUACCAGACACUUGAUCUUAUUUAUAUGAUCCCUUUAACACUUAAUCCUAUAUAUAUGAUCAGUAACACACUUAAUAUGAUCACUUUAACACUUAAGAUGGCAUUAUUAUCACCCAGCUUAAUGGGAUUUGAAGUCCCAUGGCAAGCUUUUAGCUGUACCCUUAAAAGUAAGUCUGUAGGAAUGUAUACAGAACUAUACAGUUUUACAGUUAUAAACUUCCUCUUCCCUCUUUUAUUUCCACUCUUAUUUUUUACUGAUAUCUAUUUGCAGUUGACUUUAUAUACAUAUGAUUAACUCUAUGAUAGGUAAAGAGAUCAACCAAUGAUAUUAAGAAAAAAAAAGAAAAAUAAAACUGUUCCUCAAUAGUCAAGACAAGGGCUGUUAAAGUCAUUGCUUUUCAAUGUGUCAAUUUUACUUCUACAGGUUUCCUCUUAGGUGCUUUGUUAGUUAUCGUAGAUCAGGGAGAACAUAUGGUAUUUGUCCCUUUGGGACUGGCUUAUUUCACUAAGUAUGAUGUUUUCCAGAUUCAUCCAUUUUGUUGCAAAUGACUGGAUUUUUUUUAAACCUCUGUGUAGUAUUCCAUGGAGUACAUAUCCCGUAAUUUGUUUAUUCAGUCUUCUGUUGAUGGGCAUUUAGGUGGAUUCCAUGUCUUAGCUAUUGUGAAUUGAGCUGCAAUAAACAUGGUGGAGCAGAUAACUCUUUUAUUUGCUGAUUUCAUUUCCCUUGGGUAAAUUCCUAGGAGUGGCAUGGCUGGGUCAUAUGGUAGGACUAUAUUCAGGUUUCAGAGGUAUCUCCAAAAUAUCUUCCAUUGUGGUUUUACCAGUUUACAUUUCUACCAACAGUGGAUUAAGGAACCUUUUUCUCCACAUCCUCACCAGCAUUUGUUGUUUGUUGAUUUCUGUAUGAAAGCCAUUCUAGGGGCCAGUGUUGUGGUGCAGCAGGUAAAGCUGCCGCCUGCAGUGCCGGCAUCCCAUUUGGUGCUGGUUCAAAUCUUGGCUGCUCCAUUUCUGAUCCAGCUUUCUGCUAUGGCCUGGGAAAGCAGCAGAAGAUAGCCUAAGUGCUUGGGCCCCUGCACCCACUUGGGAGACUCGUAAGAAGUUCCUGACUCCUGGAUUUGGGUCGAUGCAGCUCUGACCAUUGCAGCGAAUUGGGGAGUGAACCAGUGGAUAGAAGACCCCCCACUUUCUCUCUCUCUCUGCCUCUCCUUUGUCUGUGUACUCUGCAUUUCAAAUAAGUAAAUCUUUUUUUUUUAAUUGUUAUCCUUGAGGUCAGAAAUUUUUUCUUCCACUUGGUGUAUUUUGCUGUUAAAGCUCUGAAUCAUAUUUUUUAUUUCACUGAUUGGCGAUUUCAUUUCCUGAAUUUCUGUUUGGUUCUUCUUAAUGAGUUCUGUCUCCUUAGUAAUAUUUUCAUUCAUGUCCCUCAUUGAUUCUUUCAUUUCUUUAAUCUCAUUGAGUUUCCUUACAAUCAUUAUUUUGAAUUCUGCAUAUGUCAUUUCAUAGACUUCCUUCAGUUCAGGAUCUCAUUCUGGAGAAGUAUUGUGUUCUUUUGGAACUGUCUUGCUACCUUGUUUCUUCAUGUUUCCAUUUCCCUACAUUGACAUCUGCAUUGACAUCUAUGUGGUGUACUUGUCCCUUCUUCUUUAUGGAGUAGGUUUUAUUGGAAAAGAGUUUAUGGUUUAGCUGGAAUGCAGGGUAUCACUUGGCUUGUUGCUUUGCAUUUGGUUCUAGGUGAGCCCAGGAAUGUAGUCUGAGUGUUUUUUUGUCUUAAUCAAUGUCAGCUGUGUCUAUAAGUGACACAGUCAUAUAGUCUGCUGUAGUUUGUAGGGAUAAAAGUGUGACUUAUAGAAGUAAAAGGGUUUGCUUCUGGGUAACUCUGGCCCACAAAGAGUUUGGUGUUAGUCACCCUGGAGAAUGUAACAGACAGGUCCCUGUUCUUGACAUUGAGGGCGACAAGUGGCUGCCUCCUUGUCCUCCUGGCAAGCCUGAGUGAUGUCAGGGCUUAUGUCCUAACUGCUGUGGCUCUAGAACUGUGUGAUACAGAUGGACCCUUCCUCAGGUCCUGCUAGGAGAGUCCAUCUGGUGCUCUGGCUUAUAAUACCAACAACCCUAGUCCUAGGACUACAGGAUGUGAAGUGAACCCUGUUUCAACCCUACAUGGUGACUACAGGUCUUCAGGGGAUUUACUGUGGAGGGUAUGACUCCAGAGAGGUGGAAUGAAGGUAGGUUCUUCCCUGUGUCCACCAGGUAGAUUGCAGUGGCAUCGAGAAAUUUCAUACAAAUUGUUACAGUCCUGAUGUUGCUGGUAUACUAGGAUCAUUACCAAAAUCUCUCAGGGUGGGAGAGAGUUUUUUAUGGGCUGCUUCUGGUGUUAGACCCCAGCAGCUUAGCUGAAUUCCCCUGGCUCACAUAGAAUGUGUGAGCUUAGCUCUGGGGCUAAUGCCCCAAAACUCCCACAGUUGCAGGGUGCUGAGGAUCCGUCCUUUGCCCCCUGUUGUCCUGGUUAUGACUGUGAGCCUGUAGGAGCAGAAUAGAGGCUGAGUAUUGCACUCUGUGUGUGGUGGGGAGGGGAUGAAAGGACAGGAACGUGGCUUCCCUGCUCCAAGCCAGGCAGUGGCUCAGGUCCAUGUCAGCUCUUCAGGAUGAAGGAAAAGUCACUGCAUGACUGUGGAAUUCCCUCUUAGCCAAAGCUGCUGAGUGGUAGGGUGUGUGGGGAUUGCUUCCUACCUUAAGGUGGUAAGAUGGUGGCUCACAGCUGUUUUUUUUUUUUUUUUUCCCUGCUUUGCUGAAAAUUUCUGUCAGACUCCUGGACACUGAGUCCUUCCUUUGUUCUUUUCAUAUCCCAGAACAGCUUAAGUUGGUGUAGCUACACCCUGUUCAGCCAUCUUGGAUCUCCCAAGGCCUUUCUUCAGUAUCUUUAUAGCACAAGUAUUUUGGCAGUGAAUUCUGGUUUUGUCUGAAAAAUUCUUCAUCUACUUUGAUGUUUAGAAGAUAUUUUUGCUAUGGUUAGAAUGCCACGUGGACAGUUUUCCUUAUAGUACUUAAAUGAUAUAAUUCCAGUUUUUUGUGUCUUGCAUUCUUUUUGUAGAGAAGUAUGCUGUUAUUCUUAGAUUUUUUCUUUUCUGUGUGAUUUUCUUUGACUGCCUUCACAAAUUUUACAAUAUCUUUGUUUUCUUGCAGUUUUACUGUGAUGUGCCUAACUUACUCCUCUGCUUAGGGCUUUCUGUGUUUCUUUAUGUUGUGGUUUGAUGUGUUUCAUUAAUUUUGGGAAAAUUAUUCACUAUUAUCUCUUCAAACACUUUUUUUCUGCUCCCUUUUCUUUCUCUUCUACUUCUGGAAUUCCAAAUAUGUUAUACCAUUUGAUAUCAUCCCAUACCUCAUACAUGCUGUUUUUUCCUUGUUGUUAGAAUAAUUUUUAUUUUUAAAUAAGUUCCUAAAUCCUUUAUUCGACAUUCAGUUUUCUGAUAAGCCUUUUGAAAGAAUCCUUCCUUUUUGUUAUUAUGCUUUUUUAUCUUUAGCAUUUCCAAUUGGCUCUUAAAAAAUAGUCUCUAUUUCUCUUCUGAAAUUACCCAUUUACUCAUUGUUGUUGUCCACCUUUCACACUAGAUUUGAAAAAAGAAGACAUAUUAGUAACGAUUAUUUUAAGCCCCUGUCUGGUAACUCUAACAUCUGUAUUACCUCUUAUUCUGGUAAUAUUGACCACUUUAUCUUUUGACCAAGUCUCUUCUAAUUCCUUCCAUGCAUUUCUUCUGUCCCAUAAUUUUUUAUCCAGCAUCAGACAAUGUAUGUAGCACGACGGCAGAGACUGAGGUAAAUUCUGUUCCUGCCUGGAAACAGAGACCUCCAGUUUGAGAAACUGGAUAAAUGUUGUUAGAAACUGAGCUGGAUUGAUCUGAUUUUAUUGUGUGAUAGGCCUCCAAGUCUGCCCAGGGUGGCUUGCUGCUACUUUGUGCUUAGUGUGGAGCCUGCAGAGAUGGAGGACUUUGUUCAUGUUUCCACCUCAUCCUCAGCUUUCAGCAAGCCCACCUGCCUGUACCAGAGAGCGCUCUCUCUCCAUGUUGUUGCCUCUCCUAAGGACUAGACUGCUGUUGCUGCUUGCUCAGUGUGAAACUUGCAGUGUGGCAGGAUGGUGUUCGUGAUGGUUGGGGAUUUCUCUCUUUUGCUUUGGUCUUCGUCUUAGGUCUUAUGUGUCUGGGUCUGAGGCCUGAGAUUUUCUCUUUCUCACAUUAGUGGGGGCUGUGGGUGGAGAGGACAUCUCCCGCUCCCAGUGGUGACCUUCCUCUGCAAGUAUCUCUCAAGGUGAUGCACCCACAGUGGCUUUCUGCCCCUCCUCUGGGAGGCAGGUGUAUGUUGCUUCUGCCUCUCCUUUAGUGGAGGUGAGUUGCUGUGGUUUGCAUGCGGUCUGAGCACCAAAGGUUCCCAUUUGAGUAGCUUGAUUCCUCUUGUGCUGGUGUUCAGGUGAUGGAACCUUGGAGAGGUCAGGCCUAGUGGAAAGUGGUUUAGGUCAGAUGCUGCACUCUCAUGAAUGGAUGUGUGCUGUCUUGCAGGACUGAGGUCUCGUGGGCCUGGAUUAUCUCUUAUGUGAAUGAAUUGUUGUAAAGCUAGGGCAUUCAUUCCUUGACCACUUUUUUCCAUGACCUUAACAUGUUGUGACACAGCCAAGGGCUGUCCUUGCCAGAUGUUGGUGCCAUCAUGUUUGAACCUGCAACCAUGAGAAUUGUGAGUCAUAUACCAGAGUAUUCCAGAAAAGGUAUGAGAAAAUGGAAUUAAAAGAUAAGCUUAUUUUGGUGCAAAAACUUUGAAAUCCAUGCACUGGUUUUUCAUAACUUUUAAGACCCAUAUAUAUCUGUUCUUCAAUAAGUACCAGUAGCACCAGGUAUUCUGUUAUAGCAGCACAACAUGAACUAAUACCUGUACCAGUUUCCAGGACUGUUACUCUUAAGUAGGUUUCAAUAUCUGUGUUUAAUAAGUACCGGUUGCCCCUCUUCCAGGCCAGCUCUCUGCUGUGGCCUGGGAGUGCAGUGGAGGAUGGCCCAGGUCCUUGGGCCCUGCACCCGCAUUGGAGACCAGGAGAAGCACCUGGCUCCUGCCAUCAGAUCAGCGCAGUGCACCAGCUGUGGCGGCCAUUGGAGGGUGAACCAACGGCAAAAAGGAAGAUCUUCCUCUCUCUCACUCUCCACUCUGCCUGUCAGAAAAAAAAAUAAUAAAAGGGUCUGGAAAAUAGCAAGAUUUCAUACCUGUAUACACUCUAGGAGGCCUCUCUUGACUCUUGCUUGAUCUUUUUUUUUCUUAAAGAUUUAUUUUAUUUAUUUGAAAGACAGGAGUUACAGAGAGAGGUAGAGACAGAGAGAGAAAGGUCUUCCAUCCGCUGGUUCACUCCCCAGAUGGCUGCAACGGCCAGAGCUGUGCCAAUCCGAAGCCAGGAGCCACGAGCUUCUUCUGGGUCUCCCACAUGGGUGCUGGGGUGCAAGGACUGGGCCAUCUUCUGCUGCUUUCCCAGGCCAUAGCAGAGAGCUGGAUCAGAAGAGGAGCAGCCGGGACUAGAACCAGCACCCAUAUGGGAUGCCAGCAUUUCGGGCCUGGCCUUUAACCUGCUGCACCACAGCACUGGCCCCUCUUGCUUGAUCUUAAUCCAUCUUGUGAACUAUUGGGAAAAUCUGAUUGGUGAAGAUAGACUUUGCUUUUGAGUCUCAGAAAUUCUAAUCUUCCUUGUUAGAUGCUAGAUGUAGUUUGAAUAUUAGUUUGGGUGUCUUCCACAGGCCCAUGUGUUAUGGGUGAAGUCUCCAAGAUAUUAUGUUAGUGGUUAAUGGGUGAACAUUAACGUCUAAUGGAUUUAAGGGAGAAACUUAGUCCACUUGUGUCUGAAGAUGAGGCCUUUGGAAGUGAUUAGAUUGCAUGAAGUUGUUGGGGUGGAGCCUGUGGUUGAAUCAUGGUGCCUUUACAAAGGGAGACAUUGGCACAGAAGGUGAGUAUUCUCCCAGUCUCUGUUUUCUGGAUCUCCAUGUGGUCCUGUCUCUGCACACAGUCUGCCAUCUACCGCUCUCCUCAGACACCAGCCCAGAAGAGCCACCCAGUGUUGCACUGUGCACAGCCAAAACUGUGAGUGAAAGUAAACCUUUUCGUUUAUAAAUUAGCUUAAGUACUCGUGUUACAGUGACAAAAAGCCGGCCAAUAGACUAUUCAUAUCCAGCAUCUAUGAUCCUUUAGAAAUUUCAGCUCUUUUCUUCUUACUGACUUUCAUGCUGCCUGCCUCUUCAACUUGUCCUUUGCAAACAGUGAAACGUUUUGUGUGUUGUAUCUCCUUGGAGGGGCUAGUCAUGCUUCGGAUUUCAGUUUGCUCUUUGCCUGGUAGCAUUAGCUUUCUGAUGGGCUGGAGAAAAAUUCUAAUUUUGUGGGUUAUUUUUUUUUUCUUUUUAGAUAGGAGGUGAUAUUCUCUUGUGGUUUUUUACAUUCUGAGAAGGAAUGGAAAUGUGGGUGAUACCUUAAAUGACACUGGUCCAUUGCCGUGUGUCCAAGAGGGGUUCUAGAAAUUGUAACCAUAUGGAAUUGGUUAAAUGACCAAGGAGACUUUAGAUUGGAGAAGGGAAAUUUUUUGGUGAGAAGCAUGUGGUAUGUAUUACUCACUUACAGUGAGCUGUCAGAUGGCCAUGAUGAAGUAGUGUAGAUUUUACCUGCUAUUUCUUGUGUUGUCAGUCAAUUAGCUUAUCAGUUAUUCAGCCCCUUUGUGCUGGGCACUGAGGAUGCAAAGACAAAUAGGAAACUAGCCCUACUCUUAAAGGGUCCCAAUCCAGAAUUACGGAUGACUUCAGUUUAAGUGAGAACUUGACACUAUUUAAAGCCUUUAAAGAUGCGUUAGUAAAUAUGGACAGCACACAGGCUUUUAGAGUUGGAGACACCAAAGUUCCCAGCCUGGUUCCACCAUUUUCUAGCAAACAGAAUGUGGACAAGUUAACGUGUUUCUCUUUUAAACAUUUUCCUUGAAGGACUGUUGAGCAGACAAGAAGAGCUGAAGUAUGUAAUGUGUCUGGGUCAUUCACUUUUCUUGCAUGUCUCUGAAAAGUUGGGUGCACUUGCAGUGGGCUAUUUAAGCAGGAUGUGCCUGAUCAGCCAGGGUGGAUGGAAGUCUUGCUGUGGUCAGCGAUGGGAUGGGAAGAUCUGGUGGUCCCUUAUAGUUUUUCCUGAGAGCAUGAAGUUAUGCCAUGAGGAAGCACGGUUUGGUGAUGAGAGGAGUUCUGUGGGUCCUGGGCUGUAUGUGGUCUAUUGCCCUUUAAGAAAAUUCUAAAGAAAACGAGGGUACACGUAUACUAACCAAAUAUGGUUACCAAGGGAGGGAGAAGCAGGGAGAUACUGAAAGGGAAAGUAAUGGUUGGAAGAGAGAAAAGGCUUUGAGUGAAUUUCUCAUUUCCUGCAGACUUGUCUUUAGCACAGCCUUCAGUCUAAAGUCUCGGAAGGCUAAAACUCAAGGGAAAGCACUCAUUUUUGCUGGAUUGAAUAGGUAGAGAUGAGGGCUCAGGGCAACCCUAGCUGCUGAAGGGAGAGAGCAUGAGACUGCAGUCCCAAAUUCCAUGUAGAAGAUCUUCUCUAGUUUAUGGCUGGGCCCUGAACCACACACGUGGGGCAUAUUGCACAUGAGCUGUCUCAGGCUCAAACUAUCAAAUUGAAAAACUUACUGCUCCCUCUCUCAGGGGAGAUGGUGUUUUGCAGUUUGAUUUCAGUCAAGUUAACUGUCUAAUUAAAAAAAGAAGAUUUUCACAGAAACUUAACAGAAUCUGAUAUUUCUACAACAUAUCAUUCACGAUAUCCAAGAUGCUAUCUAAAAUUAUUCAUUGUGUGAUGAAAGGAGUUAACAGAGACCAACCCCAAGAAUACCCAGAAGAUGGGAGAACAAGCAAAGAUUUUAAAGUAGCUAUUUUAAGUAUACUCAAGAUCAUAAAGAAAACAUGUUCACAGUCUAGGAAACGAUGGAAGUUUUAGUGAGAAACAGUGGACAUUUUAGGAUGAAAAAUUUGGAAUAGUAAAUGAAGUACAUUGGAUGGGCUUAAUAGUACAGUGGAGAUAGUGGGAAGAGCCAGACAUUAAAGAAAGGUCAAUAGAAUGUAUUUAGUCUUAAAAAAAGGAAAACAUGUAAAUGGAGACACAAGGGACUGUGGACAGUAUCCAAAGCUCUAAUAUCCUUGUAUGUUGUAAUAUAAGUUCUAACAUAUUUGAGUUCCAGAAGGAGAAGCAAGAUAAUGAAAUAAACAAAAGAGAUCAUGGCUGAAAAUCUGCCAGAUGCAGUGAGUGACGUAGAGGUGUAGAUUACGGAGCUCAGCUCAGUGGCGUUAUUCAGGAUUCAAGACAACUCUGCUUGUGCACAUCCAUGUGAAGCUCCAACCCUUCUCCCCCCAAAAAACAGAUGAAGGAGAAAUCUGGAAAACAAGCGGGGAAGCGCUAUGAAUCACUUAUAGGGGAACAACAGCUUGAAGCACCUGACCGUCUCAGCAGGAACAGUGGUGGCUGGGAGGGAGCAGGACAGCACCACCCCAAAGAGCUUUCAGACGAAGAAAACAGCAAACCAGAAAAUCUGUGUAUCUCGAAUACUCUGUCCAGUCAAAGUGAGCUUCCAGAAUAAAGGUAAAAUAAAGACCUGGUCACAUGGAAUAAAACUAAGAUAAUGUGUCUCUGGCAGAAAUGUGUGCCAAGAAAGGGCUCAGCAGGUCCUUUAAGCUGGAAAGUGGAAAUUUGUCCUUAGGAAGCAAGGAGGAGCAUCAGGUGAAUUAAGUAUGUGCAUGAACAGAAAACAAUAGUGCUUUUCCUCUGACUUCUUCUACAUAGAUGUUGCUGUGUGUCCCCCAAAGUCUACCAAAGGGUGUUUGUAGAUGUGAUGUACAUGACGGCUCUACCAUAAAGGCUUGGGGUGGGACUUACAGACCCAUAUGUUGGGUGAUUUUUUUUUUUUUUUUACUUUUUACUUUUUGUGUGAUGGGGUAUAGCAUGACAAUCCUUCAGAAAGUUUUUUGAAAAGUGAAAUUAAAAGAUGAGGUUGUUUUGUGCAAACAAAGUUUUGAAACUUGUGCAUUUUUUCAUAAUAUGCAUUUUCCAUGAGCUUUUGGAAGACCUUUCAGAUCAACUUUAAGACAAAUUAACAGGUGCAUAUUACCAUCCUAGGGUAAUUCUCAAAAAUAGUUUAGGAAGUACAGUUAAAAAGCCAAUAGAAAAAAUGAAAUCCUAAAAAGCUAGAUAAUAACUCCAAAAGAUGGCAGGAAAGGAAGAGCAAAGGAGUAAGAGAUAAGGGAGACAAACAGAAACUUGUAAAAUGGUGGACUUGCGGGUAGGCAUAAAAAUAAAAUGGCAGACUUGAGCCAUAUUGGUCAUUGUUUUAAUGUUAGUGGACUAUGCAUCCAGUGGACACAAGGCUGGUAAAGCUUGACUGUUCAGUCCUCAGGAAUGUUUUAGAUGGUUGUGGGGGGACUUUAGGAGGCCACAUGACCAUGAAAAAUGAUGAGCUAGUAAACUCUCUAGAAAAGACAGGAGGUGUAGCCUUUGGUUUGUCCAGGUCUCCUGGCGCUGAUGCAACAAGAUGCAGUUUCAGUCACAGCUGAAUCUGGCUGUGCUUUGAUGUGGGAAUCAGGUGGAGCUGAGGUUGCAGGAGGGACAGGAAGCCCCUGUGUCUUUUCUCCUGUUUGGCCUUCCCUGUGUCAUGUCUGUCAUUAAGCAAAUUGUCCUAUGUUCAUUGAGCUGUGUGUUUUUUUUUAAACUUAUUUUUCUCUGAUUGGAAGGCAAGGGGAUGGGGAGGGAGGAAAGGAGGGAUAGAGAGGGGGAGAGAGAGAGAGAGAGAGACAGACACACACACACACACACACACACACACACAGUGAAGUCUUCCAUCUGCUGGUUCAUUCCCUAAAUGCUUGCAACAGCUGGUGCUGGGCCAGGUCAAAGCCAGAAGCCAGGCACUCAGUCUGGAUCUCCCAUGUAGGUACAGGGAUUCAAGUAUUUGAGCCACCACCUGCUGCCUCCCAGGGUGCCCAUUUAGCAGGAAGCUGGAUCAGAAGUGGAAUAACAGGAACUAGAACCGUGCACUCAGUUGUGGGGUAGGAGCAGCCCAGACAGUGACUUCACUGUGGUGCCAAACACUUGCCCUUCUCUUUGUGCUUUAAUAAAGUUUGCCCUGGAUAACACGGAGUUAGUCUGCCGUGUACUCACUGCCUUGAAUCCUGGUGCAGGUCUACACUGAGUGAUUGAGAGCUCUGUUAGCAACCGUGUAGAUUUCUGCACUAGAGCCUUUGUAAAAUGUGAUGGAAGAUAACUGUAAAAUAAACAUCUAUUGAUUAAAAAAAUUCACUGUACUUCCCUGGAUCUUAUAAGUAAAAAAAAAAAAAAGGAGUUAAUUGGUCACCUCAGUAGAGUUUGGGUCAUUAAGUAUAAGAUUUAAGGUGAGUCCUGAGCACCUGUCUAUAUUUUAACAGGCUCGCAGGUGAUCCUUUCGCUCAUCUGUAAGAGGAUCUCCAGUUUGUAACAUUCUGUCUUUCAAUGGUUUUCCCAAAAUGUCAUGAAAAACAGUUUUUGCAUAUAAACUUUUCAUUUUUAAAUGUUUAGCCCAUUUAGGGUCAAGUGAUAUUUUUAUCCUAAUAUCCUUUGUGUUCUUUCCUAUACCACUCUCAGUCUCAAUAACGCAUUUGGCCAUUUUUCUUUACCUAUCUUGAGGCUUGGAAAUAGUCUACAAAGUCAACUUUAGAAGCAAGAGCUUUGGCUCCACAUAGACAGGGGAAUGCUCUAUGCGGUUCUUUCUUUCUUUCUUUCUUUUUUUUUUUUUUUUACAUUUUAUAUUUCUUUGAAAGAGUUACAUAUAUAUAUUUGAAAGUCAAAGUUACAGAGAGAGAGAGUGCGCGAGUGAGUGAGUGAGCUUCUAUCUGCUGGUUCACUCCCUGAAUGGCCACAGCCCCUGGGGCUGGACCAGGCCAAAGCCAGGAGCUAGGAGCUUCUUCUGAAUCUCCUAUGUGGGUGUAGGGUCUAAGAACUUGGGACAUCUUCUCCUGCUUUCCCAGGUGCAUUAGCAGAGAGCUGGAUGAGAAGUGAAGCUGCCAGGACUCAAACCAGUUUCCAUAUGGGAUGCCAACAUUUUAGGCAGCAGCUUUACCAGCUAUGCAACAAUGCCGGCCCCAUCUGUGCAGUUCUGAGUUGUCUCAGAACCACAACGUGGCCUGGGCUGGCUGGAGAAUCUUUGUGUGUUUGUGAGAAUGUUUUUUCGUUUCUAGGGUAUAUUGGGAUGGCUUGGAAGUGGCUUGGAAGUACAAUGUUUGUAUUUAAAUGCACGAGAGCAGUUGUCAGAAAGUGGGAGCUAGAUGCUGGUUGGUUCACUUUGGGGUGGUGGAGACACCUCAGCAUCCGUUUCUUGGGGAUCCUUACAGGACCUUGUUGCUUGUCUGCCUCUUUCUGGGUGCUGGUUUUGACUGUACUGGCAAGAGUGUAUUGGUGAAUCCUUCGCUGAAGUUCUUGGCACCUCCAGGGACAUUUCUACAGGUAAAAUCUGUUAGCAGAGGCUAAGUCCUAAUCAGACAGUAGUGGGUGAGUUGGGGAGGCUGGAGCUGACGUAUGAGAGGGAAUUGCAUUGUGGGAGAGACUUUGGCCAGAAGGUAUGCUAGUAGUAGGAAGGGCAGUUAGAGGCAUGUUUUUUUUUUUUUGACAGGCAGAGUGGACAGUGAGAAAGACAGAGAGAAAGGUCUUCCUUUCGCUGUUGGUUCACCCUCCAAUGGCCACCACAGCUGGCACGCUGUGGCCGGCUCACCGCACUGAUCCGAAGGCAGGAGCCAGGUGCUUCUCCUGGUCUCCCAUGGGGUGCAGGGCCCAAGUACUUGGGCCAUCCUCCACUGCACUCCCUGGCCACAGCAGAGAGCUGGCCUGGAAGAGGAGCAACCGGGACAGAAUCCAGUGCCUUGAUCGGGACUAGAACCCAGUGUGCCGGUGCUGCAAGGUGGAGGAUUAACCUAGUGAGCUGCGGUGCCGGCCUAGAGGCAUGUUUUACCAGUGAGUAUGAUUAUGGAGGAGAACGCUCAUUUUGUUUGGUCACCCUCGGUGUCAAACUUUGCACUUCCUACUUAGUUUUAAAGUUUAAGUCACUGAAGUCGGGUAAGAUAAAAGGUAGAGGUGAAUCACAUUCUGGAUUUCCUUAACACAUUUAUCAAAGGUGAGUGCCAGGCCAGUGACUUCUUUACCAACAGCACUGAUUCCUUAUUGCUGUGAUUGCUAAUUCCCAUGGCACGCCCAGCCUGUGUGCUCUGUCCUCCUCCCCACUCCACUUCCUGAAAGAUUCAUUGUCACUCACUGUGUCCACAUACUGCCAGGCUGCUCACCCCGCAGUCUCUGAGUUGUGUUGAUGGACCGGCAGCGAGGGCAUCUCUUGGGAGCUUGUUGGAAUUGCUGGACUGUGGGCCCCAACCCAGACUUACUGAGUCACAGCCCUCAUUUUUUUUUUGACAGGCAGAGUGGACAGUGAGAGAGAGAGACAGAGAGAAAGGUCUUCCUUUGCCAUUGGUUCACCCUCCAAUGGCCGCCGUGGCCAGAGCGUUGCGGCUGGCGCACCACACUGAUCCGAUGGCAGGAGCCAGGUGCUUCUCCUGGUCUCCCAUGGGGUGCAGGGCCCAAGCACUUGGGCCAUCCUCCACUGCACUCCCGGGCCACAGCAGAGAGCUGGCCUGGAAGAGGAGCAACCGGGACAGAAUCCAGUGCCUUGACCGGGACUAGAACCCGGUGUGCCGGCGCCGCAAGGCGGAGGAUUAGCCUAGUGAGCCGACAGCCCUCAUUUUUAACAAGAUCCCCAAGUGAUUGAUGGUACGUCGAGGUCUGAGAGGUGCUACUAAGGUGCUACUAAGGCAUUUUUGCAGGCCUUCUCAGCACAACGCCUAAUGGCCAGUUCUCACUCUCCCUCUCCUUAACUGCUCUGCUGUUUGAUGCAGUCUUCUUCCAAGCUUCUCUUUAUUUGGCUUCUCUAACACAGCUGUCACGUUCUUCAUCACACUUCGCUGGCUGUUCCCUUCUCUGGUUCCUUUUCUGGGCUCUUGUCCUCCUGUCAGCGCUAGACUCCAAAAUACGGACAUUUCUACAAGUUUGUGUCUUGCCCUACCUUCUCUUUCUCCUAAGGUUUGAUUCCACUGUUCCAGUUGCCUUCUAGAGAGCUCUCCCUCGGCCACCCCUCUGAAAUCUCACAAACGUGUUGUCCACACCGACUUAGCUCUCAGCUUUCCUGUUCUCCGAAACCCGUCUCGUUCUCUGGCCUUCCUCACAUUAGCGACUGACAUCCCUGUGGGCCCUCUGCAUCCUCCACUUCCUGUGUUUCCUUCCCUGUCGAGCCCAUCACCAGGUUGUACCUCCAUGCCUGUCUUGUGUUCUGAUUUUCUCAGUUGCUAUUCAUUCCAGUUGGUUUACUCUUUGUCCUGAACGUCAUAAAGGCUUCAUCUUUGUAGUUAUACCCACUGUCUACUGCUGCCCCACAUCCUUCACUGUUACAUGGUCUUUGUCUUAGACAUUCCCAUCACAAAACAUUGAGUGUUUCUAUAGAGUCUGAUUUCUUCAGUGUAGGCUUCAAGGCCUUCCAUACUUGUCGCUCCCCCACUCGCGGAGGAACGACUCCGGACGCUGUUUUCUUUCCCCGGCCCUUCCCGGAUUUGCUGCCGCUCCCCCGCCUCCGUGGAGAAGCGGUGCCCCUGCCGCUCCCCCACUUUCGUGGAGGAGCGGCACCGGCCAGCUCUCUGACCGACUCUCUCAGCGGGGCACGGCCGCGCAUGUUGUCUCUCUCCCCCUUUUAAGGGGUUGGGUCAGGAAUCAGCUAAUUAACGAAGCAGCUGUGUAAGGUUUGCCCACUCUCUCUCAGCGCCAUAUGAUGGGAGAGCAGAUGCAUAGAGUUAGUCGUAAUAGUAUCAUGGUCUAGUCUAGUCUCGGUAGUCUCAGUACAUAUUUCGCCAUGUUGCGGGAGAUAGGCCCUGCUCCCCACACAUACUCAGGCCCAAUCACUUUCUGCAGCAGCUUUCUCUGUAUUCUUCUAAUGCCCAGUGCUUGGUCCAACAUUUGCUCUCAUUGGUAUUUCCCUACUAAAUAAAGAUAACCUUUGGAAUUUGGAAUGAGAAUCUAAUACAGAUUAUUACAGGAUAGACAGUGAAUCGGCUAGGGUGAGUUCAUUGCAAAUAGAUUAGGCCUUAUGAUCUACCCUUUUUUUUUUCUUAAGAGAUAAGAGAAAUGUAACAAACACCAGGCAUUUGAAGCCCAGAAAGGCUUUUUGAGACUGGAUUUGUGCCAAAAAACUCUAUCAAAAGAGAGCACCUAAAUGGAGCUCUGUCAGUGAUUUCUUGUGAUUUUUCCAAAGAACUUCAUUUUGUGCCUGAUUCUUGGUAAAAAAAUAUUUCCUGGUUCCUUAGGUGAAGAUACAGAGAGCACACAUAUCAAGUUUGUGGAUGGCAGCUUUGGGGAAGGACAACAGAAUCAGCUGAUAGAAUCAUGCUUCUGCAGUACUUUAUCUUCUAGGAUAUGCGGGUACAUCACAAAGUUCAUGAAGAGGCUGGUGCUGUGGCGCAGUGGGUAGAGCCAUUGUCUGUGAUACUGGCAUCCCAUAUGGGUGCCAGUUUGAGUCCCAGCUGCUCCACUUUCCAUCCAGCUUCCUGCUAACGCACCUGGGAAAGCAGCAGAAGAUGGUCCACAUGUUUGAGCCACUGCCACCCAUGUGGGAGACGCAGAUGAAACUACUGGCAGAUGGAAGAUCAAUCUUUCUUUCUCUGUCUUUUCUCAAAUAAAAUAAACCUUUAACAAAAAGUUGGUGAAAAUGAAAUUAAAAUAUGUUUAUUUUAGAGGAAAGAAAAUUUGCAAUCUGUGUGUUUUGCGUGUAUUUUUUGAAUUUGAAAAAUUUUGAAUUUCAAACAUUUAAAAAAAUUGCACCAUAAUGAAUUUACUGGGUUACAGGGGCCCAAGUACUUGGGCUAUCCUCUGCUGCUUUCCCAGGUGUUAUGAGCAUGGAUCUGGGUUGGAAGUGGAGCAGCCAGGACUUGGGCCUAUGCCCAUACAGGAUGCUGGUGUUGCAAGAGGCUGCUUAACCUGCUACAGCAAAACGCCAGCCCUAAGAAGCUUAAUUUUAUUAUUAUUUUUACAGAUUUAUUUAUUUACUUAAAAGUCAGAGUUGUAGACACAAGAGACAGACAGGGUUGGUGGGGAGAUCUUGCAUCCACUGGUUCACUCCCCAAUUGGCUACCUGGCUAGGGCUGGGCCAGGCUGAAGCCAGGAGCAAGGAGCUUCUUUCCGAUCUCCCACAUGGGUGCUGAGGCCCAAACACUUGGGCCACCCACUACUGUUUUUCCCAGGUGCAUUUAGUAGAGAACCAGUGCUCAUAUGGCAUGCCAGCAUUACAGUCGAUGGCUUAAGCUGUUGUAGCACUCACUGUGUCAGCCUUAUUUUUUAAUCUUAUUAAACUUAAUUAAUCUUAGCUUAUUUUAAAAUCUCAUUUUCCACAAUACUGUUGAAGUGUUCUGGAAUAUGGUGCAAAUCAGAAGACAUGAAAUUGAAGAACAUUACACUUGUACUUGGGCUUGUGGAUAACUCUUGAAGAAAGUACUGCCAUAGGGCUGAUGUCUGAGGAAAGCAUUAAGUUUUGUCUGUUCAGUUCUAGGUGCUACAUGUUACACUGCAAGCAGACAAGUUGGAAUCUUUUUUGGGAGAAUCCAGCAGGAGCCUGCUGGCCAGGGUGUGGCUGAGUGUGCAAGCUGCUGGGUGGUCUUUGAGGUUUUUCAAGCCCAGCUUGGCUCAGUUAAAGUCUCCUGGAGGAGGGGAAUGGCUGAGUUACCUUAGUUUUUCUGAAGACAUUGAGCACCAUGCUUUGCCCGUAGUGUGUGUUCAUAAAUCCUGUGCAGUGACUGCUGUUAGUGUCAGUUUUGCCUCCUGGUCCAGAACCCAGUUUUCUGAGGGCUGUAGGACUUACUCUGUUUCUUUCGGUAUCAUCCCAGCAUCUUGUAUAGGCGUGGGUUUUCAGUAGGUACUUAGCAAAUACAGGUUGAGUUUGCAAAAUUAAAUGUUAGGACAAAUCCAUGAAAUACCAUUGACUUAACCACAUUUCUCCUUUCCUGUUAGUUAGAAACAGGGAAACAAGUGGUGAGUAGGAGCUGUAGUGGACUAGGGAUCAGGGCUGCCUCUCCCCUACACUAGCUUGCCUUGGGUAGGCGAGAAUCCGCGUAGGAUCUGCUGAUGAAGGAGAAGUGGUGUGGAAAGUAUCAUAGCUGUACUGGGCUUCUCCCAGCCUUUUGGUAUUGGUUAUGGUAAUGAAAUGCUUUAAGAUGACACAGUUAAGGCACUUCAUCACUUGCGAGUUUCAGUUCUUUUCAGUGGGCUUGGAAACAGCAGAAAUUGCUUAGUUGGCUUCCUGGGAGAGUGCAGCCCACGACCCAUGAUUCACUGGGGUCUGUCCAGCUGCUGUGUGCUGUUCUCUGGCAGGUGUGACGAGUGCUGCCACUGACACCACCUCUGGGAUGAACGCAGGCUUUCCGAGGGCUCUUUGAUGAGUAUCUGGGAGAGCGAGCGCUGUUGGAAGGGCGCUGAGCUGCUCUUCAUCGUUGCUGUGGAGCCACGCCCACCUCGGAGACUUUGAUCGAUGCCUAGGGUGUGUGUUCGCUGCGGGGCCCCUCCUCGCAGGUGCCUACUUUUUUGGGUGCUCUUUUCCUGUGUUCCCUUUCUCUGUUUUGUCACAGUUCUCUAGAAUGGAUCGGCAUGCAAAGUGACAAAGUGGUGGUCUUCGGUGGGGGGGCUGUCAAACCUGGAGACCCUGGGUUUGGCCAUACCGCUGGGUCAGAGGAAAAUAUUUUAUAUAAGGGGUGUGGCUAAGAAAGCAUGUAAAUAAACCCAGUAUCUACUAUUCAGACCCUAAAGAGUUAAAAGUCGGAGUCACUUUUACCAUUUAAUUGUGUUUAGCUCUGUGCUUAAAAAAAAAAAAAGAAUGUAGAAAAAAAAUCAUGUUUCAUUAAUGUGCCAGC
This is a non-coding RNA of Oryctolagus cuniculus (rabbit), 52389 nucleotides long. The record is from RefSeq and is a predicted model, not a curated record. NCBI's taxonomy places the organism in Eukaryota, Metazoa, Chordata, Mammalia, Lagomorpha, Leporidae.